UUUUUUUUUUUUUUAAUUGUAUGUAUUCAUAUCUUUUGGUGUCAUUUAGUCAUAAAUAUUUAUGGUAUUUUUUGCACGAUUGAGGCCACCUUAAUCCCUAAUUGUAAUCAAAAUUUGAAGAAUUGAAAGUUGAUAAUAAUUAGAUAUGUUGAGCAGAAUUAUAAUAAAGUAUCUUCCGUUCUUUCUUUCCCAAAAAGAAAAAAGGAAUAUUAUUAAUCAAAUCUAUAAAAGUAAGAAAUAUGAAUUUUUUUCUUCGUUUUGGCAGACUGAUUUCGGUAACUUUGGUGAAAGAUUGAAAAGGCCCGAUUAGAUGUUAAAUCACGAAAACCCGGACAGACCCAAUAAUCUCAGGCAGCCAAUUUUACGAUUAUUCCAUUGAUUAUUCAUCAGCUUCUUGGAAUUUCUCAGUGAAUUCAACGGUUCUUUGACGGAGUGGAGAGGGAGGAACUAGGAAGGAAGGAAGGAAGUAAAUUAGGUGAUUCUAUUCAAUUCCUUUCCCAAUUUCCCCCUUUUGAAGUCCAAUCCGGAAACGGUAUGCAAUAAUUUCUCUUGGAUUUUUGUUUCUUUUUUCAACCAAUUGCAGAGUCCUCCUUAUUCUCAUGCAUUUUUAAUCAUUUUUGCUUGCUUUUGGACCUCUUCCCACUGUAAUUUUGUGUUACAUUUUCUAUUUUUCGGGUUUUGUCAUGACCCAUUUGGUUUUUUUUUCUUCAGAUACUUGUUUCUUGUUGAUCCAGAUUGGUUCAGGCUGGAAUUUGAUUGUUACUGGGGUUGUCAGUUUAGGUAAAUCGCGACCCACUUGUGGAUCUUUGUUAUACUCUCGUUGUGGUUGUUCUUAGUGUCUUCUUGUCGUUUUUGUCGCUUUAUUUUCUUCUCGUUUCUGCUGUUUGUGGAAACCUCCUACCAAGAGUAGUAAUGCAAACAGUAUAGUUGUUCACACUCGUGAGUUUUUCAUUUACUUUCCGAAGAUCAUUUGGAUUUUUAGAAUCGGUUUAUUUGUCCUUACUUUUUUAUGCUACUUUUCAGUGUUGUAAAGAGGUAUACUUUUUCUCGAGCAUCCUUUGAUCCGCAUGUAAUGCAGGUUUUCUAGUACAUUGUUUCACCUCGCGUUGAUUGUAUUCAGUACCAGUGAUAAGUGGAAGAAAACACGUUAAUCGUUAGAUUAGCUGUUUGGCCUCGUUCUUGAUUAUCGGUUAAAGGCUCGGAUAUUUUGUGAGGGAAGUGGAUAGUGAUGACGAAACACUAGGGGGUAUGGUCCUGGAACUGAUGCAACAAAAUGAGCAGGUCCCCUUCAUUCUCUGUGAAAUCAGAAGUUAAUGUGAAGUUGGAUCCAGAAUCUCUUCAAAAAUGGGUUGUGGCCUUUUGCAUUAUUAGGUUUGAUCUUGAACAGGGUCAACUCAUUGAGGAGUGCUAUCCUCCAGACUGUCUUACUCAAGAUGAGGAACUUGAAGUUGCGUUUAGUUCAUUUCCCGAUUCAAUUUCGCAGCACCAGAACCGUUCAAGCAUUCAUGAUUGUAUCUUCUUUUUCCGGCUUCGAAGGAAGGGAGUUUCUCAACCAAGAAAUAUAUCUUCUGAGAUAACUGAAGUGGAUGAGUUAUCACAAAAUACCAAUGACUCUAAACUUCCAAGAUCAAAGAGCAGCCUUGGUACCAAGCCCAAGUACAUGUAUGGUUUUGUUUUUAAUAGGCAGAGACACGAUGAGAGGCUAAGAAGAGGUGGAGAGCAGAAGUCUGUGGUAAUUCUGUCUCAUAGUCCUUAUUCUACUGUCUUUAAACCUCUGUUGCAAAUCAUGGGUCCAUUAUAUUUUGACAUCGGGAGGAGGGCUCUUGAGCAUAUUGCUGCUUAUGUUUCGAUGUGGCCUGCUCCAGUGCCCGGUAAACAAAUGGAGCUUCCUAUUGGAAAUGCCAUGCUUAAAGCACACUUGCCACCUGUUCAUAGUCUGGUAAUGGAUGGUGAGACAUUUUCCGAAGAGUCUACAUCCUCUAUGGCUCCUUUUCUUCCCAAUAAUCAGUCAGUUCCUCAGGGUCUUUUCCAUGAUUCUGAUCUCUUUGGUACAUUCCGGGGUCUUCUUUUGCAGCUCUGGCUGUUGUGGGAGUUGCAGCUUAUUGGUGAACCCAUCCUUAUCAUUGCACCAACGCCUCCCCAGUGUUGUGAAGCUGUUGCUGGUCUUGUUAGCUUGGUUGCUCCUCUUCUUUGUAGUGUUGAUUUCAGACCUUAUUUCACCAUUCAUGACCCUGAGUUUUCACGUUUAAACGCACUUCAAGAUGGAGCUACUUUCCCACCAAUGGUUUUAGGGGUGACGAAUCUUUUUUUCCUUAAAGCUCUUCGUAAUAUUCCUCAUAUUGUCUCAGUUGGAAACCCUGCUGUUAAUCGGCUUGCCCAGACAUCCAGGUCCUCUUCAGGUAGUGUUCCUGGCGCACCUGAAGGGUUUGGAUUUCGACAACUAUCCCUGAAAAAAUUCUCCCCGUCAAACUUGCUCAAUGCUGUCAAGUUGAGGAGAGAUGGUCCGCUAUGCCUCAUGACGGAACAUAAGGAAGCCAUCUGGAGCACAUACCCUGCAGCAAUGAAGCCAGACACAUCGAUCUUGAAUCGGCUUAUUGAUGCUGGCUUAUCACCAAGGGUUGAGGAGUCUAUGUCUGUUGUCAACAAUGAGAUACUGCGUCGGCAUUUCCUGGAACUUACUACCAACUUUUUGGCUCCUUUUGGGCCGUACUUCCGAACCACCACUCCUUCAGAAGGAUGUUCACCAUUUGAUGAGCCUUCUCGUCCCCAAUUUAGUGCUGAUGAAUUUCUUGCCAAUCUAUCAACGAGAGGUCCAGGAAAAUUUUUGGCUAAGCGAAUGAGAUCUAACUGGCUGGAUUUGUACAGGUAUUGGGGGUGUUCCAUUCACUAGCUAUUGUAUUUUUUUCUUUUUCAUAGGAAGUAUUCAUCACCCUUUAAGAACAGUUUUAUUGAAUUUUGUUUUGUUCAUAUCAAUGGACUUGUUAAACUAUUCCAUCUAGGCGGUUUCUCAAAGGACCAAACUUCAUGCCUUGGUUUCAAAGGAGGUGUGCUGUUGCAGAACAAGAACAGCAUAGACUAUGGAGGCAAGCAAGAAUGAAUUCUGAUAUACCACGGCUUAUGUCUAAAAUGCCUGAAUUGGAAGUUGUUGAUUUAUUUAAUGCGAUUGAAAGACAUCUUCUAAGAGAAAUGGAGGUAUUUUUCCCAACGGUCCUUUUGCUACUAUUUUAAUUACAAAUAAAUUUUGAUUAGUUUCCAAUUUUAGUUUUUUAGUUCUGUUGGAAGUUUCUUUUUUCCUUCUAAUACGUUUUUUGAAAGGUAUCUGAAUGCUUUUGAGUAGGCUAGGUCCUUUUACUUUAUUUUAUUUUAUUUAUUUUAGUGUGUGGGUUUCUGAUCCCUCUGAAUAUUAUUAUUACACUGCGUGAUGUUUUAAAUGUGAUUUUAAAGAAUAUUUUAGGCUUGAUGAUCAUAGAUGGCAGUGAAGGCAGACAUUGUUGAUGUUAUUGAAUAAUUGGUAGGAAUUGGAUUUAGCCUUAUUGAAAACCAUAUUCAUAAGAAGCAUGUUUAGUAAUGAAGAAUAAAAAUUAUAGAAGGUUGGAAUCUCAGGCCAGGGGAACCGUUGUAAACCAUUCCGCUUAUCAAAAUAAAAAAGGGAUAAUAUUAGAAAAACCUCACCAUGUCUCUCUUCUAGUCCUAUUCUUAGGCUAACAAAAACAAAUCCAUGGGUCACGAACAUAGCCAUGUGGCAUGUCUACGAGGAGGAAUCGAACAAAAUUCCUUUAGUCCAAGUUGACAAUAAAUCUCUUGCCGUCUUUAAACCGUCACCCUGGAAGCAACUCUGGAAACUAUCCUCAAUAUACUUGGGAGGACACCAAACUAAUUCAAAAUGUUGACAAAUGAAAUUUCUACCAUUCGAAGCAAACAGACAAAAAAUGGGCGAAUGGUUGAGCAACCUUUCGUUCGUUUCAACUUAUAGAAUUAACUUGAGGAGCAAUAAUCCAGAGCAGUAGUUGGUUCUCUGAUCACAAAGGCUUAUGAAAAAUAAAAUUAAAGAACCAUGGUGUUCUGAAAAAAUUCUAUCCCUUUUCUUAUAUGCAUGUACAUUGGAGUAAAAUCAGAUAUUAGCAUGGAAGGGAAGAUAGUGGAUGGAAGAAGAAUGUUUGCUGUUUCUUUUUUCUUACUCUUGUUUCCCCCUCCUUUUCUUUUAUCUUCUUUCUUUACUAGUCUCUUCCCAGCCCUUCUUUUAUAUGAUCUUUUUUAAGUUUGCAAAACCCACGAGUGGUAUGGGGUUUGUUUCAUGAUCUACCUUAAUUUGUGUAUGUAUUCUAUCCUGCACUUAGUGAACAGACUGGCACUGUUAGACUUCUGUAUGGACGUAAAAUCUUUCAAUUCCUAUAUUUGGGUAAAAUAGUAAACCUAAUUGUGAACUCCUCAUCAUGUGCAUUAUGAAGAUAUCUGGUUUAAGCACCAGAUAACAGCUUUUAAGUAUGUUAGAUACUCAAACACAGAAAACUCAAAGAAAGCAAAUGAAACACUAAACAACGGUAUAUUGCAAUGUCAAGAGAAGUUGCAAUGUACCUAAUAUACCAAUAGCCGUUCAAGAGGGUUCUCUCUCUCAAGGUUCCUCAAUGGACAAUCCCCUCACCAAAAUGAUCUCCCACCCCUAAGGUCCCAAACUCCCCUUAUUUAUAUCAAGUCCACAUUCCCCUACUGCUAUUCUACUAGUAUUACCCUCCCAUUAGUUAUCUCCAGAAUAAUGGUGAACUUUCACUGUUUAUUGAUUUUUAUAUGACAAACUUAUAGACUAAGAUGCAGUAUAGCAAGACAGCUAUGCUGCUCAAAUAUGUUGAUUGUGGUUUAUGAUAUAUAUUCAAAAUGCUGUUAUUUCAGUUAUGCUACUUUCAUCAAGAAUAUGUAAGAAAUAAAGAGAAAAUAUGAAGUGAUCACAAAAAAUUGAAGGAAAUUGUACAUUUCUUACAAAAUAAUAAUAAUAAAAGAAAAUAAAAAUAACAUAAAAAACUGACAAACAUAACUAUUGGAAACAUGCUUUAAAAAUGACCAGAAAGGUCAAUCGUUUUAAACUUUAACACGUUUUCUCAACUUAUAUUUUAUUUUUGUUGUCUAUAUAUUUGAAAGUAGAAUAGUUGGCAGAUUAAAAUGUCAAUGUUUCCUUUUCUUUAACACUUGCACUUGAAAAAUGUUUGGUGUCAGGAUGAAUACUCAAAUUGGGGAAGUUCAUUUUCCGUAGUAUAUAAUUCUUUAGAUGUCCUAGAAAUUCAAGAAAAUAAAAUAAAAAAAGAUUCCCCUUAUUAACGGUGUAAAAUUGUGUUAGAUUCAAUGUGUAUAAUAUUUUGAAAUUAUUUACCCGCUAUUGUACCUUAAUCGCACCUUCUUCAGUUGUCUACAAUAUAUAGGAUAAUGUUUCUACUUGUUCAACUGUUCUACUAUUCAUAGAUAUGUAAGUCUUUUCAGCUGGGUCCAGGCCUCAAUUUCAUACAAAUUUGGCAAUGAUAGAAAUUAGUUACUUGAGACAAAUAAAGAUGACUGUGAUUGAAUAUGCAUGUUCGAUGACCAUAAAAAAUGACGUAUUUUAGGAGUUUGUGAGACCAUUGAUUAUUUUUAUAUGAGAAAUUGGGAACGAUGAAAUGUUGAAAGAAAAGGAGGAAAGCUAAGUCCCAGCCAAUGAAAAAAAAAUACCAAAAACUCUUCCAAUUUGUUCAUGAAUCAUUUAAACUAUAGUUGUUGGAGACCUAGAAUUUGCACUUUCCAAAGAAGACAAGUUAUGAAGCGUUUGACAAAACAACCCUUCAACCAACAAGUCUUCCUGUUUGUCACUAAAAGCAAUAUACGAUGCAUCCACACUGCAAAUUUCUCUCUCUGUUUCUUGUUUAUAAGAUGUUUUGCACUAUAUAUUUAUGUUUCAAACCCCAUCUUCAGCUGCAGGAAUCCAGGAGAGCUUAUGUAGACUCUGUGGCAACUUGUCAGAAACUGAAAGGGGAUCUGCUGACUGUUUUCAAUGUGCUUCCUAAAGACAUGCAACAACUCUUGCUUCUUAAUCCACAAAGGGCAUCUCUUCUCCGUGGAAGUCCUGAACCAGCGAAACUUCCAGGGCGUCCGCUUGUACAAGUUGGUGUUGUAUCACCAAGAUAGUACUGAAUACAUGUUAUGAGUAAGUAGCCUCAGGCAAAAAAUUGGUUUUCUUCUGAUUUUUAGAGCCAGCCCUCAUUGGUUUGUUCACAUACAACACUUGAUGGGGAGAUUUCCCCCCCACUGGCUGCUGCAAAUGUUUUAGUAGGUACCAUUUUAGACCUCUCCUAAUCUUUAUACUUAAGAUUCAAUCUGAUAAAGUAUUAGGAUGAAUUAUAUGGUAUUUCAUGUUUUUAAAAACAUGUUUAUAUUUCUACAAAUAAACAGAUGACCAAGAAUGGUGGAUAUGGUGGUUGUGUUACUUUUCAGUCAUCCAAUUUGACAUCUGCAACCUACUGUGAACUUAUGGAUCAUCAAAAAUUCUUUCAGGAGAUGAUAGUUAGCCUUUUCUUUUACUAGAAUUUCUGAUUUUGUAUUGUCUUCAUCACUUCAAGGAGAGGAUAAUGUCAACUUGUAAUAUGUAACUUAUAUUUUUGUACCGAGUCCGAUCCAGCUUUUAUCGUGUAGAUGUAAAGUUAAAGCAAAUAGUUUCAGCUUCAAAACUCUGAGACUGUUGCAAGAGAUGUUAUACAUCGCUGGGUUUUUAAGCGUUUUGAAUUUUAUAUCAGUGGAAGGAAUUAUCUAACUGUAGCAAUUAUUUUCAAAUUGCCCUAAGUUAAUGGUUUUACGUCAAACAAAGCAGUUGAGUUAUUCUUUUGCACUCUUCAUUCUUCUAACUUUUCUUCUUUUAAUGGGUUAGGAGGAAUAUAACCUCCUUUGGUAUUUUUUUUCAAUCAUUCCUUUAUAAAAUAAUAGUAAUAAUAACAAGGGUUAUAUAUUGGUCUCGAUAACUUUUCCUUUAAUUUAUUUUAGUUCUUGUACUUGUAAAAUGUUCGUUUUUGUCCUCGUACUUUUUACUUUUGUUUAUUUUGGAUUCUAUUUGAAAAUGUUUAUUUAGAUUCUUUUACUUUUAAAAAGUGACCAUUAUAAUUAUUUUUAAGGAACUAAAUCAAAUGUUUAUUUAGAUUCUUACUUUUAAAAAGUAACCAUUGCAAUCAUUUGUAAAGAACUAAAUUGCCACUUCUUAAAAGUAAAGAAUCGAAGUUAACAGUGAAAUGACCGAAACCAACAUUUUGGUUUUUUCACGAAACUUAUCAAAAACAACAUUUUAAAAAAUACAUCCAUUUCAAUCAACGAAAAUUGAAAAUUGAUCAACGAAAAUUGAAAAUUAAGAGAUAAAAAUGAAGAUUUUAAAAUUACAUCAACUAAAAUAAAUUACUUAUGGUGUUGAUAAUUUACUUAUGGUGUGUUUGCUUCAAGGAGUUAUGAAAUAGUAUGGAAAUAGGAUUCGUGAAUUUCACAUCGUAUUUGUCCCAAGAAGUUAUAUCAUAGCCAACAAAAAUUUACUUGAACUGAAUGUGCUAAGAACCAAAAAUCCCCCCUCGUUCAAAUUACCUCCCACUUGCACUAAAAAUACAUCUUAGGCUGUGGAUCUUCAUAGUUCACAAUUCAUAGUUCCAUAAACUUCCCAAAAUGGCUCAGUAUAUAUAUAAAAAUUCAAACUUUCUACAUAGGGAAGAUUGAUUAUUAACCAUUUAAUAAAAUUGAAUUAUGGUUGGAUUAGGAAACACAGAUGAUGGAUUGUGGAUAAUGAAGUUCGUUGCUAUUGGCUUUACAAGAUUACCCUUGGAUUCUCUUCCUUCAUCAUAAUGUGAAGACUUGGUGAUUAUGACUAGCCAAGUAAACCACUCCACAACUGAACUUCAGAAUAUUUCUUCAUCUCAAAAUAAAUAUAAAAAAUAAAAAAAGCAAAUGCAACCUUAGGAGAGCACACAACAGUACAAAUACUCAAAUAAAUAAAUCCUAUUUAAAAUCACUUCAAAUCACACCAUCAAACAAUUCAAAACAAGAAAGCAAGCAUACAACUAAAUGCUAAGAAUUCCAAAAGAAAUAUUGAGCAGUUGGCAAACAGCCACAAAACUUUGAAAUAGAUGGUUUCAAAACUCAAUUAAAGUACUCAUUCAGUUCAGGUAUUCUGGCUUAGAACCAAAAUAUCACUAAAGCCACACAUAAAAGAGGUGAAAAUGAUACGAGCCAUUCUAUUUUGAAGACAAAACUAAAAAGGGGAUAAACAUAACAUUCAGCAACUGCAAAUUGGUGAAGUGGGGGUUUGAUCUAACGCAAUCUUCUAGCUUCCCUCUCAGACUCCAACAGAGUAAGAAUGUCACCUUCCCUCACUGGUCCCUUGACAUUCCUCAUAAUGUAACGAUUUUGAUCAUCAAGAAACUUAACUCUCACUUGAGUCACUUGACCUCUAGAUCCAGUUCUACCCAUUACUUUGACCACAACAGCAUGCUUGAUUUGGGAUUCCAUUCCUGCACGAACCCACCAAUAACUUAAAUCUUAUUCAAUCCAAGAAUCUUUUCCUUUACUAUACAGCUCCACUUCUAAAUUUGAACAACAUAAUAAGUUCAAGGAACAACUAGUGGGAAACAAAGAACUUACGUAUAUCAGUGCAUAAUAUUCUAUGAAACUAGAGAUUUGUUAAAGAAACCAACUUUCAGAAAGCAUAUACGAGUUACAAUUCUAAUUACUUAUAUUUUGAACCAAGAGAAGGAGGGAGAACGAAAAUGUCUGCAUAACAUUUCAAGGUUUCCAACUCAUAAACAAAACGAACAACUGCAAAUCAAAAUAUCUCGAAUCUCAAUCCCAAUAAUCAUCUGUCUAUCAUGAAACAAGAUCAUAUAACCAACAACCAAAAGACAAUAACACUAAUCACCGAAGGCAAACAAAAGCAAAACUGAAGAAUAAAUGCAAUCAUUUGUCAGCUUUCUCGCAGAGAAUACAAAUAUGAAGUGCUGCCAAUGCUAUGGAUAAGGAACAGAACAAACAAAGAAAAUCACAAAAAAUCCAUGGAUCGAAGAAGCACGUCGAUACGAACCUUAAACGAGGGAGAAAGAAUGAGGGCGGAGAGAACUCAGUAGAAUUUGAAGACACGCCGCCGGCAACACAAAUGGAAGGGGGGGGGGAAAGGAAAUACUUUGGGCACAAUAACUAGGGUUUCUGAUUGUGGAUGAAGACGAAUAUACCCCUCUAUGGAGAACUCAAGUGUAAGGGCUUUCUGGUAAUUUAAUAUGAAGGCUGCAUACGGAAAAUUAUUGUUAUUAUUAUAUUUAAACAACUAAAAUUUUACAUUUUACGUCACCUAAUUCAUCGGAUUAAAAAAAAAUGCAUAUUUAAUUAUGUUUUGAUCUCAUUUAAUUAUGCUCGAUCUUGUAAUUGUAAUAUGAUUAUUAAGAUUAUAUCUUCCUACUUAUUACUAAAUCAACUCAUGAUGAUUUAUUUUUAACCAUGUUAAUAGAAAGAUGAGAUGUCAUUUGUUUGAUAACAUUUUGUAAAAUAAUUCAAAUUGUAGAAAGUUGUUUGUUGGGAUAAUGAUUUGAUAAAUAAAUGUAUGGAUGAAAAAUAAAAUAGAAAUUUAUUAAGUUUACACCAUAAUAACAAUUAGGUAAACAUGAACAAAUGAUAAUCAAAUCAAUGGUUUAGUAAACGUGUUUAAAAACAAUCCAAUUAUUGUACAGUGAGACUCAUUUUUAUUGAUGGUUAAGCCAAAAUCAACCCAAUUUAUAUUGUUUCUCACUUUUUAAGUAUUAUUAUAUAUUUAUAUUGAAAAUUUGAAUCCCUCUGUCCAAAAAUCUUCGAAAGAAAGAAAAUAUAAUCCUACAGACAAGAAAUUUUAGGAAAUUCUUAAAUAUGUAUUUAUAAUUUUAGUUUUGUGUGUUUAAUGGUCUUUUUAAACAAAAUCAAUACUAUAAUUUUGUUUAUUUUAAAAAACCGUAGAAAUCAGAUUUAAGUUUAUUAAAACCUUAAUAAUAUAGUAAUUAUUACAUACAUUUGAAUGUUUGAGGAACUAUUAAAUAUAAACACAAAAUUAAAAUUGUAGGAAGUAAAUUUAUAAUUUAAUAUCAACAAAAUAUAUUUUUGGUCAAUGGGAUUAGAAGUAGUUGGUGUUCAUAUAGUUACAAGUGAUAAAAGUUAAGUUUGCAAUGAGGUGAAGCAAAAAGUUAGAGAAGUGGUCUAGGGUUGAAAAGGAAUCUGCUAUCUAUGGGUGGAAAGGCUCCAUCAAAGCAAUGUCCUAACGAUCCAAAUUAUACUAUAAGUUGUUUGAGGAGCUUCCUAAUAGCUUUAGGAAAGAUUUGAAAAGAAUGUAUGCUUGAUUUUAGCGGGGUUCUUUUGCGGAGAGGAAGUGAAAAAACUAGAGAAGUUGGAAAAAGAUGGGUAUGAACAAGGAGUCAUCUUACAAGAAUUUUGAAGGAAAGAAAAUUUCCAAACGGAGUAUUCUUGAAGGCAAACCUUGGCUAUACCAUAAAGAGUAUCAUGUGGGUGGAUUAUGUCUGCUCAUGGCAUUUGGAGAAGAGUAGGGAAUGGUAGAAGCAUUUCAAUUGAAAAGGAAACUGUGGAUUCCAAAAGAAGACGGCUUCAACCCGAGUUGGGCUCAAGAUUAGGCUAAAUGUUUCAAGUAGUUUUUUUUGUUUAAUGAGUCCCUAGUGAAAGAGAUCUUAUUCCUACCAUUCCAAAUCUAUAUGCCAAAGAAGUUCCCUCUAUUCACUGUGGAGACUACAAAUCAACGCAAUUUUUCAAGGGAAGUAAGGAAACUUUUUCUAUCUUCUCCUUUUUUAUUGCUUUGAUUGGCUCAAGCAAAGGUUGAUGAUCCCUGCUGAAUUAUUGGGAGCUCUAGAGGACUACAUGUUUGAGUGAGUGUGUUGGACUGUUGGUUGUUCCACAUAUGGUAGUUGAAUCAUAGUUGGCAUGGGAAAUGGAGACAUUUGAUUGUGGAUAAUGAGUUCUCUUGGUACUGGCUUUAGAAGAUUCCCCUUGGAUUCUCUUCCUUGAUCCUAAUGGGAAGAUAUUAUCAUGACUGCACUCCACAAUUGAACUACCUUUAUCAUCUUAAAAGAACUAUAUAAAAAGAAAAAAAGAAACCCAUUUCAAUCCAGCAGAACUUAACAGUACAAACACUGAAAUAAAUAAAUCCGAUAUAGACUUGUAUAUUCUUGAAACCAUAAACUUCAUUACUUCAUUAGGGUCUAAUUUUGUUGUAGUUCAAAUCUCUGCAAAACAUAUUUCCAUCAUUCAACAUCAUUUUAAUGUAGGCACAAUUCGGAUGAGUAAAGAUAUAAUUUGGAGUGAUUUUUAAACCUAACAAAAGCUAUUUUAACCACCUCAAAACCACUCGUCUCAAGAAUCUGCUACACCCAAGAAAGUUAGAAUAUAAAUAAGCAAACAAGAAUUCCAAAAAAACACCAAUAAUAUUGAGCAGUUGGCAUAUAGCCACAAAAUUUUGAAAUAAAUGGUUUCAAAACUCAAUUAAAGUACUCGUAUUCUGGCUUAGAACCAUAAUGUCACUAAAAUCACACAUAAAAGAGGAAAAAAAUGAUAAGAGCAAUACUAUUUUGAAGUUAAAACAUAACAUUCAGCAACUGCAAAUUGGUGAAGUGUGGGUUUGAUCUAACGCAAUCUUCUAGCUUCCCUCUCAGACUCCAACAGAGUAAGAAUGUCACCUUCCCUCACUGGUCCCUUGACAUUCCUCAUAAUGUAACGAUUUUGAUCAUCAAGAAACUUAACUCUCACUUGAGUCACUUGACCUCUAGAUCCAGUUCUACCCAUUACUUUGACCACAACAGCAUGCUUGAUUUGAGAUUCCAUUCCUGCACAAACCCAAGUUCAAAGAAUCUUUUUCAUUUAUAAUAACCCCUUCUAAGUUCCAAGUAGAUAUUUGCUAAACAAUCUGCCACCAGAUAACAAUUAGUUACAUAGCUACCUUUCUUAAUUCGAACAACCUAAUUUUAAGUUCUAGGAACAAGAAAACUAGUGACAAACAGAAAAACUAUUAAAUGUCAGUGCAGGAUAUGUGUAAAAGAAAUCAACUUUCAGAAAGCAUAUGCGAGUUCCAAUUCUAAUCACUUCAAUGUAUUGAGUAUCAUGAAACAUUUAACAAACAUUAAUAUGGUUCUCCAUUUAAUCAACUACUCAAAAAUUUUCCUCAGAGUAGGAAUUCAAUCGUGGUAACAAAAUCACACAACCAACUGACCGAAAGAUUCACUCCAUAAAUCUCACACUAAUCGCUAGAGGCAAACAAACACAAAAUCGAAAAAUAAACGCUUGUUUAGUAACUAUCUCGGAGACACGAGGUGGUGCCAAUGGUAUGGAUUCGAAACAAAAGUAUGAGCCAAAAGAGAUCACCAUGCAUAGAAGAAGGGAGUGAAUACUGACCUCAAACACGAGAGAAAGGCCGGAGAGAACGAUCUGUGGAAUUUGUAGAGACGGCGCCCGAGAAUUGAUGAAUGCAAAUGGAGAGGAAUAAAUACUUAAAACCUAGGGUUUUUGAUCGUGUGUGAAGAAGACGAAUAUACCCCUAAGUCUCACACGUUUGAAAGACCAAUGAAAGAAAGAGGAAAAAAAAAUCAAUCUCGAAAUUACAUUCAAAUUAUUAUCUAAAACAAGUUCAAAAUAAAUUAUAAUAUUUAUAAAUAUUAUCGUCUAUUAUAAGAUAACUAAUAAUUUGAUAUGGUAAGUUUAUUGGUAUAGACGAUGCUAUUUUGUUAUAUUUAUUAAUAUUUUGAAUAGUUUUGACAUUUAAAGUAAUUUCUCUAUUGUAUACUCAUUUGAAAGCUUGUAAAUCUAAUAAGCAUGACUAUAAAAGUUUAAAAACUAAAUUUAUAAUUUAGUAUAAUUUAGUCUUUUAUUUUAGUUUCCUUCUCGAACCUAUACAGACAAAAGAGUGACCUUUUCUACUUAGUGAGAAGGAUCGUAGAAUGAGUCCUUUAUCGUAGAGUUUUUUCUUCCUCAAGAUGCAAACAAGUAUUCUUAAGAUCAUCAUCAACAUGAAAGUGAUCGAUCAAAAUGAUGUGUUUUGUAACUUCAACAUAAGAAGGAAAUCCUAAGCUUGAGGUUAAUUUGAGGAAUCUUUCAUCUUCUAAUAUGGUCGUGGCUUCUUUGGAAGGGGAUUUUUCAUGAUCAAAAGGGGCUCUUUCACCGGACGAGUUGGAUAAUGUGUGUGAGAAAUGUUGGUUCCUUGAAUCGUACCUCUCAAAUUAGUCAUUUUGAAGGUUGAAGCAUGAUAUGUUUUUUUUUUUAAUUUAGGAUUCUUAUCGAGGACACAUUACUCACUUUUCGAGAAAAGACAAAACUACUUCCAACAUUGCAACUUUAGCAUUCUCUUAGUGACAUUUUUUGAUUAGGAAAGACAACCAUUCAAUUAAUUUUUAAGAAAAUGUUAAUGGAAGGAAUAGUUGUUUGUUUGUUUGUUUUUUAUUUCUUGCUUAAAAUACUAGUGAACUCUUAGUUGCUAUUAUGAAUGGCAAAAAGAGUAAACCUUGUCCACAUUUGGUGAAGUAAUUAAUGAGAAUUAGAAUGUAUACUCACAUUUUUAGGAAAUCUACAUUUUUAUUCUCAUGCAUUUUAAAAGUUGCAAUCAAUAAGUUUUAUAGUAAUUAUGAAUCCUCUUUUUGAAAGAUAUAACCAAAUCGUAAAUCAAUUAUUAUAUUUAAAUCAUUAUUCUUUCAAAGUACUACCCACUUUCAAAUUUAUUAGCAAAACUUGUGAUAUGAACAGUAAUAUACUUGUUUCAUUGCUACUACGGCCUAUAGAAUAUUUCGAUUCGAAGAGAAAAACAACUUGAGUAAUCUAAUUUGAAAGGAUUCUUUAAAACAUUUAUUUUUCGAACUUUCAAUCGUAGAAAUUGAAUCUUCAAACUUAAAUAAGUGUUAAAAUUUGUAUCUCAAACUUGCAUUGUUGUAGAAAUGGUAGCACUUAAAUAAGUUUAAAGUUCAAUUUUUAUCAUUUAAAGGUCCAAUUUCUACAACUAUUUUAAGUUUGAAACUCCAACUUUAACAAUAAUAUAAAUUUGGGAGCUCAAUCCUUACCGUUUAAGAAUGUAAUUGCAUCUACUAUCGUACUUCAAUGGUAACUUUGACAAAUUGACAAAAUUGUAUAUAAAUAAAAGGUAAUUGCAAAAUUCACUAUUGUUGCAAUUAGCUUUUUUUCUCCUACUAUCAACAAAUGAAGGUUGAGGAACAAAAGACCAUGUCAAUUAUAGUUUACCUAAGCUUACUUUCACACACACUAAACUUACUUUCAACCUCUUAAACUUACACCAUGGUUUAAAAAUGAACUCUUCGGAUACAAAUCUGUGUGCGUAAGAUUCCAAAAGUUAAAUAUAAAUUAAAAAAGGAAGAAGAAGUAGGCCUAUCACUCCUCUCUCUUUCUGUCAAAAUCAAAGAGGUGGACGUGAUCCUUGAAUAUUUUGUGUGGUGAAGUUUGGGGUCAAAAACUUGAAGUGGAGAAUAGACCACGUCUAGCCAUAGACAAAACAUUUCAGCUUCAACCUUCCUCCUGACUGACCUGUAAAUUUACAAAACGGUGGCUGACAAAACCAUCUGAUUAGAGACAGAAAACAGGAAAAACCUUAUUCAUCAGCAUUAUUCAUGUUAAUCAGAAACACAUAUGCCUUACAAAGCAAAUGGAAUAACAAAAAAUCCACUUUCCAAGAGAUUGACUUUCAGUUUCAGCACUUUCUCAUUUGAAAUUGCUUGUUCAUGUAUAUUGUGACGAGGCAAUUGAAACCUUAACCUUCACCCCUUUCCCAGGCCUCUUCCAUUGAUUAUGACAUCAGUACUUUAGUUACUACAUGGGUUAUUCAAGAGAGAGCUUCUUGAGUUACACAAGUUUUACUGUUAAAUAUGUGUUUUUCUUUUAAGAUUCUCACUACCAACUCUAUGAUUGGUGAUGUCUGGCCAAAAAGUCUCUCUUUUCCUCUCUCUCUAAUGUUUCUGCUAGUAUGAUUGUUGAUGGGGGUAUGAAGAUGACAAACAACAUGUCACUUCAACUCCCAAAAAGUGGUCCUCUCUUAAUUGAUAGUUUCACCACUCACCUCUUUCCCUUGCCCUACACCACAUUCUACUCUUCUCUCUCCUUUUUAUCUUUUGCCCCAAACCAGACUCUUGCCCCCCCAGAAAAUUAGAACAAUUCAGUAAUGAUUUAAUUCAUUAUUCCCCAAACAUUUCCACUCUGGUUUUGAAUAACAUCACUGGGCAACUAUGUCAACUGGAUCAGCUGUUUGGACCAAAGAAGAAGAUAAAGCAUUUGAAAAUGCUAUAGCCACGCAUUGGGGUGAAGAAUUGGAAGGGAGUAAGGGGUCAGAAGAGAUGUGGGAAAAGAUUGCUUCCAUGGUUCCAAGCAAGAACAUGGAAGACUUGAAGCAGCACUAUCAAAUGCUGGUGGACGAUGUUGGUGCUAUUGAGGCAGGCCAAAUUCCUAUUCCUAACUAUGCUUCUUCUGUUGGAGAAGAAACUGCUUCCACUAAGGAGAAGGAUCAUCAUCUUCAUCCUCAUGGAUCUUCUGAUAGUAAUAAAAGACCAAAUUCUGGUUUUGGAAGUGGGUUUUCUGGGCUCUCCCACGACUCAUCUGCCCACGCCACAAAGGGUGGAUCCAGGUCUGAGCAAGAAAGAAGGAAAGGAAUCCCAUGGACAGAGGAAGAACACAGGUUCGUAUAUUUUCAACAACUUCAAAUACUGGGUCAUUUCAUAGCGAGCUAUAUAAUUAAUCAAUCAAUAUAGAUAUUAAGAAAAGAAAAGACUUGUUUUUGUGUUCUAUGUGAUAUGGACAUAGAUUCAUUAGGCAGUGCAGAAUGAGAGAGAUUCUUAAGUAUUGCUAUUUUCAGGUUAUUUCUACUGGGUCUCGAUAAGUUUGGGAAAGGGGAUUGGAGAAGCAUUUCAAGAAACUUCGUUAUAUCCAGAACACCGACACAAGUGGCCAGUCAUGCACAGAAGUACUUCAUACGAUUGAACUCAAUGAACAGAGAUAGAAGACGAUCAAGUAUUCAUGACAUAACGUCAGUUAAUAAUGGCGGUGGUGGCGAUGUCAUGUCCCAUCAAGCUCCGAUCACUGGCCACCAGACAAACGGCACGAACCAGAGUAAUCCGCCGGCUUUGGGACCGCCAGGGAAGCACCGGCCUCAGCAGCAUCUGCCCGGAAUAGGCAUGUACGGGGCACCUGUUGGGCAACCAGUGGCAGCUCCUCCGGGGCACAUGGCAUCAGCGGUUGGCACUCCAGUGAUGCUUCCUCAAGGAAUCCAUCCCCAUCCUCCAUAUGUUAUGCCAGUUGCUUAUCCAAUGGCACCUCCACCAAUGCACCAAUGACAAUUAUUUUUUUUCUUUUUUCUUUUCCCCUUCCCAGACAGAUUUUUGGAUUCGUGGAUCAAAAUAAGAAGUUGAGGCAUAACAAAGAAGAGCAAAGGGUAAAGUUUCACUUUUCAACUUUUCCAUUCACCUGUGAUUCUCCAAUCAUGUUGUGACGAGAAUAUACCAAUAUAGAGAGAUCCGAUAAGUCACCCUUUUUCAGCCUUUUAAGAACGACUUAUGAACAUGGAAUCCAAUUUUCAAUUUCACCAAUGUUUUUUGAUAGUAUAACUACCUGCAAUAAAAUACGAGCAUUAGCCGAGAGUGCCAAGGAUCCAUUGAUUGGAGAGGGGUUGUACUCAGUAAAUUUUCAAAUGGCUUGCCACAAGAAAAUACAGGGGAAUUGAAUAUUGACAAACUCAAGCUUCAAAAUUGUAAGGACAAAGCCCAGUUGUCAAAGAAAAUAUCUCAAAACUAAGUACACAAACAUAACCAAAUGUUUCUCAAAUAUAUUUGAUAUAACUCAGUCAAUUUACUAUUUAAGAUAUCGGUUUCCUGCACCUUCCAGACAUUCGAGAGACUGCAGCAUCAGAUAAUGUAUCCCACACCUACAAAAACAUAGAGGAAAUGGUAGGAGAAGGAAUCAAAAUUUUAGUGUACGUGGAAUCCUCCAAGACAUUUUUGCUUUUUUGAGGAAUUCAUCAAUAGAGUGCUUGGUGGGAGGCUUACAAACCCCUUUAGGAACCCACUAAACCGCUGAUAUCGUUUUCCCUUAAACGUGAGUUGGUAGGAAGGUUGAGUGACACACAGUUCACAACAGUGGCAGCUGAAUGAGGGAACAGGAGAGGAGGGUGGCGGCCAGUUUCCAACGGUAAAAACAGUGUGUAUUGAUUCUACUCGUUGUUUAAUAUACAUAAAACCAAUAGUUUAUCCAUUAGUGUCAUUGGUAAAUUAGUUUUCAGCCCCUCUAAACUCAAGUUCAAGAAUAAAUUUUAAACCAAUGAAUGUUCAAACUGUCCUUGUUUUGUGCAUGUCGCUUUUGAACAAAAAUAUCUUAUAAGGAAAAUCCGAAGUCAGUAUUUUCAUUUUAUGCUCUUUAAUAAUCCUAUAUAUCCUUUUUAUUGGCCAAUUUCAAAUUUUCGUAUUAAUUAUUCUCCUCUUGGGGUAAUUAUUUUAGAUGAUAUGCCUCUUAGGAUAGUUAUUUUAAAUGAAAAUUCAGAUCCUUCUCCUCUUUUCAUUGUAAGCGAGCAUUCGUCAUUUUACACAUUUAUUUGUCUUUUAAAUGAGGAAAAGGAAUUGGCUCAAAAGAAGAAAAAAAACGAAAAGAAUGAAGGUAUAAAUAAUAACAAUUAUAGUUGAAAAUGAGUUGUAAAUGAUGUCGUAUGAAUGUAUGAAUGUAUAAAUAAUAACAAUUAUAGUUGAAAAGGAGUUGUAAAUGAUGUCGUUUAUGUAUAUUAAUUCUUACUCCUAGCUAGCUUUGACAUGUCAUUUUACUUUCAAAGUUCAAGAGUUAUAAUGAAAUAAUUUUAGAUUAGUUUUCAAUAGUAUUUCCAGUCAUUUAACACAAUUUUCCUACCUCGAUUUUGUUUGGAACACUUAAAUCUUGUUUUUGAUUACUGAACCAAAAGAGGAAAUUUCAAACAUACACUACAUUAAUCUAGAAUUAUUUACUCUAUUCUUUUACAAAAUCUAAAUGCCUUUGCAACUCCAAACUUUUGGUCAACCACAUUUAAAGCAACUGCAACAUAUUACUGUGAAGUUGAAACUCUACACUGAUGCACCAAACCCACUUGAACAUAGAUCUGUUAGUGUAUAGAUCUCUGCUUCUCACACAAAAAUUAAAUAAUACGUAGAAGAACAAUCUUAAUCAUUGAUUAAGAUGAUGGGGAACAAAUAAGAACCAUAGGAACACCAUCUUUUCCUUGAGAAGAACUGAAGAAUUUUAUGAACCAUCAACGGUCAAAUCUGUUCCUUUAUACAUAGAUAAUCCUUUCCUGAAACAAGAUAAAGGCCAUCACAUUCAUGACCAUGGCUUGUUGGGUCAUCUACCUCGUUUUCUUUUUCCAGCUUUCAUAGAGAAAAAAUGAAAGAAUUCAAAGGCAUACCAAAAGAAAAAAACCAAGCCUACAAAAACUCAUCUAAAGAAAUGGUUUCCAGCUAAGUAAGAUGCUAACUAUAGAAUAAUUACAAAACAUCUCCAAAACUGAAACCCAAAAAGAAACAUGGAAGCUCACCGAGGACCAAAAGUUUACUUGAGUUUCUCUCCACCCCUCUAAACACUUGGUUGUUCCUCUUCUCCUACGUAUCCUACAAUAAAGUACACACCACAACAAACCAUAAAAAGCAGUCUCUCUUUGAGAGAUGGACGAAAAGGAAACUCUUCGAUUGUCUUGCGAACAUCCCUUUAGUGAGCUAACUCGAGAUUGAGCUCGAAAUAAAUAUUUCCACAUGGGUUUCACAAACUAACAACACUAGAAAAGGUGAUCCAGGUCUUCCUCGCAUACACAAAAAGGCCGAGGUAGCAAGCAUAGACUUCUUUCUCAAAAGCCUAUCCAUAGGUUCUAUAAGCUAAAGCCUGUGAUGAAAUCUAACCACUAAGAGAAAUUAUUCAAUAAUACGCAUGCUAUCUAAUAAGCACCAAAUAUAAAUAUAAAGCACUUCUCAGUUCUUCCUCUCCACAUUAAACGGUGAAAAAUUGUUAGCCAUACUGCGUUGAAUCCCCCACCGAAUAAAUUAUCCUAAUCAUAGUGCUCUCAUACAAGAAUUGGAGUUCACAUCUAUAUACAAAAUAAAAAAUCACAUAAGCACAAAGACAGUUAACUUAAAGGGCUUUCCAUUAACCAAAGGAAUAAAUCAUAAACUAAUCACAUAACAAAACACACAUGCUGUUAAUCAGUGAUAAAUUGUAGAAAAGAGAAACAAAAUUGCAACCCAAUUCUUUUCUUUUCAGCCUACACUAAUUUAUUCCCAAAUCCAGUUCUGUACUCCAGUGCCCUAAUUGAUAUGGAAUGAUUGGAGUGUUCUUAUGAGGUCAAUUUCUAAAGCCAAUGCAGAAAACCCUCGAACUUCAACUUUGGCUCUGUAUAAUCAGAACACCCAAAUAGGAAAAGUGUACGAUCCACUCACACUAUAGCGAGUCUUCAAGUUCUUUCAUUUGCUCUUUCUUUUUGAGUUCGUUCUCAUAUUGUUUUAACCUCUCUUUCAUCUUCUCCUGCAUCAGCCCCAAAAAGCAAAUCAAAACGAAAAAAGAAAAGAAAAGAAACCCACAAUCAUACCAUACAUAACCUACAAGUUGAUUAGAAAUCUGAAAUUGAAGAGAAGUGGGGUUACCUUAUAGCCAACUUCAACGCGGUGCAUUACAUAGAAGCCAAGAACGCCGCCGACAACGGUGCCGGUGAUGAUCCGAAUAUAAGCCCAUUUACGAGAACUGCCGACCAUCUUCCCAAAUUCAGAGCUCUAAUUCCUUUUCAAAUGGAACUGCUUCGCUGAAGAAACCUGGGGAUGGGUAUGGAUAUGGGUAAUGGGCAUGCUCCGCCAACCCGACUCCGCCUAGUUAAUGGUUUAUUUAUUUAUUUUGUUUUCUACGAGACACGUGUCAGAAAAUCCAAACUUCUCAACUCUAAAUGCUUAAUGGCAACAAAUUUAUUUAUACAUUUUCAAUCUUGCAAUAAACCAAAAUAUUAUAUUGAUCAAAAUAAAUUACUAUUUUUAGUUUUAUCAUUUAAAUUAAAUUUCAAAAUACAUAUCUAAUUUAAAUUUUAAAAAAUUAUAAAAAAUAACAAUUUUAAUCAAAUAUUUAUAAUAUAUAGCAAAAUUUUUAGAUUCUAUCAAUAACAGAAGUCUAUAAGUGACUAUCAUUAAUAGAAUUUAAAAUUUUGUUAUACCUUGUAAAUAUUUUAAUUUAUUAUGCUAUUUUUAAAAAUGCUCUCUUUAAAUAUUUUCAUUAUUUUAAAUAAUUCUUCUUAAAAGAAUAUAAAAAAAUCGAAUGGCCCUAGCUAAUUUUUUUUUUCCAAAUUGUGUUUGUUUUUUCACCAUUUUUCAAUACUGAUUUUAAAGAUCUUAAUUAUUGUUUAUCUCCGGUGUUCAUUCGCCACUUCAUGGGGUAAUUGAUUGCUUUGUUGUCGACAAUGCUAAAAGUUAUAGCUCCGAAAGGGUAAGUUGUAUAACUUAAUGUCUCAACCUUUUCCCAAAUCUUUGAAGACGAAAAUGGCAAGACUAAACAUGCAAGUUUUAGUUCGGAAGAAGAAGAAUCCAAUGUUUAAAAAUCAAUUUUUUUUAGUACAAAUUAGGCUUCAAAAUUUAAAUCAAGGACCUCUUAGUUCUCAACAUAUAUCAAUACCAAUUGAGUAAAGCUUUUGUUUGCAAAAUGUAUCAACAUUUAAACUUUAUAGUAGACAAUAAAUGUUUUAUCAUUGUCUAUCAAGUUUAUCAUUGAUAUACAAUGACAUUUUGAUGGUGGUAUUUUACUAUAUUUAAAAAUAGUUUCACUAACUUUUUUCAUUCAAGACCAUUAUCUUCUUGGAGAAUCCCAAAUUGUUUUCUCUUCAACUACCAACACACCAUUUCAUGAAGUAAAUGUCGGGAGAAAAGUGUAGCUUAGCAAUAAUUAACCUAUACUCAUUUGAAAAUAACAACACAACAUAACCUAAGUUUGAAUAUUAUGAUGUAUAUCUGAUUCACCUAUAGUUUACAAAGAAUACCUUUAUACGUAUUUCAAGUUCUCUAUCUAAAUACCAAUAAUAAUAAAAAAAAAAAAAAAAACUUAGAGUCCAAUUAUAGUUUCAUUCAAGCAGAGUUCAUAAUGUUUGAAGGUAGACCGCCAAUUAUUGUGCUUACUUAGAUAGCUAUUUUGCUGAAAGUCUGAAAUCAUUACUUGGAUGUAGCUAUUGGCCAUUGCUUUAUUCUGAUGUUCUUGUAAAGGCAAUUUCAGAAACCAAGGGUAAAUGAUCGCUGCCCACCUUCUGUAAAAGGAGGAUCACAUUUUGUUAGAUUGCUAUCAAGACUGGUGAAGAAAACGCAAUGAUUGACUUGUUCCAUCACCAUUUUGCUUUUAAAAUGUGGUUUUCGAAAUAGUUGGACUAAACUGCAAAAGAUACUUUUCAGCAUUGUAAAAACAUAAAACAUAAAGUGAAUCGGCACAAAACAGGACUAUAAACUUUCAACUACCUCGCAUGGAAGGCCGCCUGUUUUCAGAAGAAUAUCAAUUGGAACAGUAUCAACAACCCUUAUAGGAAUAAGGCCAUCAGAGUACCUAUAUUAAAGGCAAUAAAGACUAUCACAUGAACAGCAGCACCAACAUUACAAGUUAAAGCUACUACUAUAAUCUUUUCAACUACUAAUCACAGCAGCUUACCAAAUAUAAUCGACAGUUCCAAGAAACUUGGAGUGGUAGGAAGUAGCCAAUGGUUCAUCAGUGGAUCCCCGUGUUGUAGGAGGACCCUGAAUGGUGUAUAUAUGAUUUUCUUUUUUAAUUAAAAAGGAGGUCAUAAUUUCAAUAUUUGUUGCAAGAGAAAUGAAUAAAACUAUUAACUAAUAACAAAUAAAAAAUUGUAACUAAAAGGGGUAGUGGGAGAUACAUAGAAACUAACUCUGGAGGUUACAAAAACUUCAUACCUUUAUUGUAGCAUAGGAGCUGGUAAGCCUGAAGGGAUUCCUCACCACUUUGCAGUCAGCACUGCCAGUAGCAACUUUCACCUCUUCUUCAGUCCACAGACCUUUUGUUUGACUAAAAAAGAAGUCAAACCAUAGAAGUUAGCUAAAUAGACUUUAGUGAAACUAAGAAAUACUAUAGGCUCGUCAGCUGCAUACGAGAACAUAAUUAGAAAAGUGAGAACGAAGCCAUAUAAAUCCAACAUAUUAUCCUGAAUAUUAUUACCUUCCCAAAAAGAAAAAAGGUGCGCACACUUCUGUUUUUACACCCAAAACUUUAUCAGGAUGACAUCCCGAUUGUCCAGACAAUUCUCUUCGGUCAUAGGACAUGAAAUUUAGCUGUGAAUGACAUGGUCAAUCAAACUACUGGAUCAAACACUAGAUCAUAUUAUUUCUAGACAUAAUACAUUAAUUUUGAGUAAUCAUGGACUAAGAAGUGUACCUCUGAUGAUGAUAAGAAAUUGUAUAUUGCGCUCUGCCAACAAGCAGUAAAGGGUUAGACCUUCGUGUUACAGAUGAAAAUUUGGGAAACUUAAUGGUAUCUAAAUAUAGAUAAAAUUUUGAUAUGAAACCUCAGGAGUACUAUUGAAAUCACCAGCAAGAACAAAAGGAAGAUUUCUCCAUUUCUUAGAAAGAAUCUCUGCCCUUGACAACAGAUAACGUAACUGCAAUUUAGUUUUAAAACAAAGAAGAAUAAGAUAAAAUUUCAUUUUCUAUCCAUCAUCAAAGAACGUCUAAAAACUUGAUACGAUUCAAUAUUGACAUAACAAGCAAAACCGUCAAAGCAAGAGUCUUUUUCAUAACUUCUAUUAAAACGUGAGCUUCUCUGUUUUGUUGAGGUUUGUCCUUCAUAUUCCAAGUUCCUGUGAUAGUUUUCGUUCCUUUUUUCUUUGGAAAUAAAAGACUACAUACAAUUCGAAAUCACAAAAAGAAAGUGUGGAUACACUUGAACGAAUAUUGAAUGAAUAUUCACAUUUGAGUAAUGUAAAUAUAUUUGUUGCUUUGCUUGGGACUUACUUGACCUAAUUUGACGUCCCCCCUGCUUGGGUUGUAAAGCACAUGGAUGUUACCAAUUAGUAAUCUUCUUGAUUUAGCUUUGGACAUCUGCCUGCAUAUAGAAAUGUUAUGUUUGGAAGUUGGUCUCAAAUAAAUUAAAUCUCAGAAUUUCAGGUGAAUAUCAUAAGAAAAUAUGAAUACAGGCUACUUCAACCGUUGAGGAUCCCACAUUGGAAAUAUGGGAGGUAUUCAUGAGCUACUCUUUUCUUGCCAAUUGGUUUAAAGAUGGAAUCCAUAUAAACAAUUAGAACUAAACUUUUAUCAAACAAUAACAUUUAUUGGCAAACCGAUACUUGGAAUGAGGAUAACUUCAGAAUUAUCACCAAUGACAUCAUUACAACAGCUCAAGCAUAUGACUGGAUGAUAAUAAAUGUCUACCUCUAGCACAGAAAGUUGAGCAACAUUAUCACGAAGAUUGAACAUCUUGAAUUUGAUGCUCUCUUCAUCUAUCAGUCGAAACCUUGCCAAGUGAAAUAAUAGAUGUUAGAUCAUUUACUUAAGCAUAACAAGGUGUUAUACAUUAUCUAAAAAGCCAUAUCCUCACUUGUCAGCUUUCCAGAAUAUAGCACAUCCAUCAAUAGCGUCUCCAGUGCGUCUCUGCCAUUUCAAAUUAUUCUUUAGCAUCAUAUUCAAUAAGCUGCAAAAGUUUGGACCCACUAAUUGUAAAAGAAUAAAUAUCUAAACUGAACGCAACAAUCAAGAACUCCUGAGUGAAGGUUUUUUCUCUCCCUAUUUUGGCUGAUGAAAUCCAAUGUUUAAAUAAAUAUUUAAUGUACAAGUUGAAUUUGUAAGUCACAAGUUCACACAUUACUUUCUCAUUCUAGUGGAUGGAACACAUCAAAUUUAGAAAAUGAACACUCACCGUGUAUGACCCAACGUAACCGGCUUUCUCCAUGAUUUCUGAAACAUCAAAAUACUUGUCCACUUCCUACAAGGAAUUGACAAACAACUACACUUUUCACCUUUCAUUACAAUAAUCAGUAAGAGCGAGCGAGAGAAGAUCAAGCUCACCUGCAAGCAGAUUAUAUCAGGGUUCCACAUAAGAAGUUCCUCACAUAUAACUCUCUUACGAUGGUUCCAUUUCAGGUACGGUGAAGGAACAUUGGGAUAUAAACCUCUGUGUUUCCAUGUAUUCCUUUCAGCCAAUAUGUUGUAUGACACCACACUAAACUUUUCUGGAACAUCAAAUUUCAUUGAACAUUUGCAGGCAACAUUUGAAAUAUAAUCUCUUUUCAUAUAAAUAGCAUUCCAUAACACAUUUGAUCAGGUGGCAAUUCCAUGAAAAACUAUAGCCUAUUUGUGGUUCUACCGUAUUGAAUUUACAGAAUCUAUAUAAUAUAAUUAACAAAGGAUGACCCCUAUCCUGCUUUCAUGUUGCUGCAUUUCAACCCAAUCCAAUCCCUCUAAACUUAUUCUCCUUUAUCCUUCUAGAUCUUUUCAUUUCUACUUCUUCACUAACUUUUCUUCUGAUAUUACUUUAAUCACACAUUAACAAUGUUCAGACGUAGACGAUAAAGAAUAAAAAAAAACAAAAAAAAAAAACGUAAAAGGUAGAAAAUUGACAUAGACGUUAAAGUGGUUUGUGAGUUAGUUACGUCCAGGGACAGAGGAAAAGAACAGUUUAUCGUUAGAGAAAAACAUAUCUACGUUUGUAUUUUCAAUGAUUUUUGUGUUAAUAGCAGCGAUUAGCAUAGCGAUAAUGCUGGUCGGUACUUCACUAACAUUAACUUGCGAUGGAAAUACGAAACAGAAUCCCGUUUAGAGAAUUUGGAGAGUUGAAAUGGUGUACCUUCAGAAGCGGAAGGUUGAUCAGUCUCAAUCCAGUGGCGCAGAAUUUGAACACCUUCUUGGUUCAAUUGUCUUCGGCCGGAGGGGUUGUACCAUCGACGGGUGUAGUAAGAGCUAGUGGUUGAUUUUGGUAAUGACGAUGUGGAAGAAGCAUCGGCAGCAUCGUUAGAGCAGCAAAAGAAGAAUUUGGAGAAAUGAGAGUGGUGGCGUAAAAACGGACCGCAGCUGAGGAAGGUAGUGGCCAUGGUUGCGCGCCACAAUCUCAACGACCCAAUAUUUGGAUAGAUAACUUUUUCUUAUACUUCUUUGUAGCACUUAUUUUUGCAAUUACUUUGUGAAAAUGACAAUAAUGUUCCAAAUACUUCCUUUUUAUUUCCAUAUAUAAUAUAUAUGCACACACAUUAUUAAUUGACAAAUUUUGUUUUUUUUUUUUAAUAAAAAAUAUUUUAAUAGUAAGUGACGAGAAGAGAUGUACAAAUAAGUACAUCUUUAAGUAUUAUUGAAAUGACAAUAUUUAAAUAAACACAAAAUACACUCAUCUUUAUACGUCUUAUUUAAUCGAAAAAAAUACAAUAUUAUGUGAGCCUCAAUAUAUUUGGAGUAAAUCUCCAAAUUCAAUUAACUUUUUUACUAAAGUAUUUUUAAUAAUUCUAUAAACUAGUACAUAAUGGCUUAAACUUAAUAUACUGUUUACUUUAUCUUAGAAAUGGUCUUAAAGACAAUUAUAAAAAUGAACGAUCGAAGAAAAUUAUAAAUAACGAUUUUUUCGAGUGCUAACAUUUUUUCUUUCAAUUACGCGUUUGAUACCGUACGAAGAGUAAAAAAAUGUAUUUAAUCUCAGACUAAUCAUUACUCGUGAUCAAGACCAUAAGCUUAAGGUAUUUAAGCUAUAAAAUAAAGUAUUAUUCUGUACAAAAGGCCAUACGAUGUGCUAAAAAAUGACCUUUAACCAACAUUGGACGACUUAGAAAAUCAACACAAAUCGAUUAAAUAGCUCUCACUCUAUUGAAGAUGUACUCAUGAAGGAAAUAAAAUAACCCCUUAGUCAUUCGAUAUCGAUAUUACUCGAGUUUACGUUUCUCAGAGCAAACAUUUUCAGUUGAGAGAAAUAUUAGAAAUGGAAGGGAACUUCUCAACCCACCAAGCAACAUAAUAUCAAAUAAUUUUUACCAUUAACAUUCUCAUUCACAUCAUUCUCCCUAGGAAAGGCAAUGUUGUUGCACUACCAUGUAGUACUAGUGGCUGCCUUAAAGGCCAUAAAUUAAAAUGUACAAAUAAAACAGGGGGCAACACAUUUGCAUAUAAUGAAAAAGAUGGAAGUUAAUUUAAACCUCUCUCUACUAGUAUAUCAGGGAAUUGAUGGUAUUCUAGCCUUGCAGAUGCUAAAAGCAGCUAAACAGAAUUACGGGAGUUGCCUACGGAAACUAAAAGUUAACAACCUGCUGUCCUGAGGACGAAGCUUACAUCUAGAUCGAGCGUCCAAAAACCUGGAAGCAUGAAGAAACCUAUGGUUAUUUGAUAAGAUGGAACCCAAGUUUGAAAUUUUGAAGUAAACAAGAAGAAAUAAAUUAUCAUUCUUCCAUGGAACAGGAAAUAAACCUUCAUAGUUUAUCAUUUCAAAGAAAGAUGUCUACUGUCUAUUGUCUACGGGCAUUUUCUUUGAAUGUAGGAAGCCCCAUGUUCUUCGAACCUGUUAGAUGCAAACAAAAUGAAGUGACUGUUAUGGUAACAAGGACAAAUUUAAUAUGAUUCUUAACUACUUCAAAGUGAAACCUCCACAUUUGCUGAGGCAAGUAUUUGAGCCUUACUCGGAUUUGGAGAACCACAUUUGCUGAAAUGAACCAAGAGAGGCCAAUAUACUCCCUCCAAUCCAGACACUGCAUUAAAUUUUUUCACCAGAACUUAGACAAAUAACAUAGGAGGAAAGUAAAAUGUGCAUAAACAUUAGGGGAAACAGUAUCAUGGGGCCAACCGCACAUGAAGAAAAGCAUAGAGUAGUUUCAAAUUAAUUUCAAAUGUAUCCAACAGAGGACAUAGAAAACAUCAAACAUAGAAUUAGAUUAUUUUCCUAUGUAGCUGCCCCAAUGGACAGGUAAACAUUAAACGUUGUAAAUAGAAUAUGUGAAGAAUGUUCCAUGUGAUAUAACCAUAAGAAAUAAGAUGAGCGUGCUCAUACCUGAAUCUUCUUUCUGUUGCAUUACCGCUUGCCAAUACUUUAACCCUAGCAGCUUGAGGAGACUCCUACAAGUUCAGGACAAACUUAGUGAUUUUGUCUUAGAUCUAUCCUCUUCUCCCUUUCAUUCAAGUGCACGGAGAUUUCUAAUCAUUAGUAGAUAUACCUCUAACAAAUCUUUCUCAAGACGUUCUUUAAGCUGUUGCAUUGAAGCUGUUCCACCAGCAAGCUGGAAGAGGUAGAAAAAGAGAUCAAGUUCACGAGUGUUUCCAAUAAACACACUGAUUAUGACGACAAAUAUGCCAAAAAGAAAGCAAACAUAAGUUGAAACAUUAAAGGAAGGCUGCUGCCUUGUUUGCCACAUUGGCAUGUUUCAUGAGCCAUACGCUGGACUUGAGAAUUGAGAUGAUCACAUUUUAUACUUUUUCCUAGCAUCUAAAUUGGAAAACAAACAGAGAGAAACUAAAAAAUGUGCAGCAUUUUCACCAACCAUAUAUCACAAGAAAUUAAUAUUUUUUAAAAAAAAAUGUAAAAUAAGAGAGAAAUAAUACUUAGAGCACUGAACUAUACCAGUAUACUGCUAAAUAGUUCUCUCCGAAUAUCCACAUCACAUUUAUUUAUACUCUCGAUUACCUGCGCACAAAUAAAAAGUAUAGUUAAUGUUGUCUUUUCAACUAAAAAUACAUGAUUUUAUUUAAUUAUAAAAACGCAGAACAAAAUUAUGAACAGAACCAAAAAGUUGAAAGGAUUAAGUGGAAAUAAUUAUCAAAUUGGGUGAGAUUAUGGAAGAACACACAGGUGUGCCUAAAAUCAAGAAAACUGAAAAACUAAACCAAUGAAACUGGUUUGAUCCAACUUUUGUACCAUAUUUGGUUCUUCAAUCUCCAAAAGUAAAGACUGAGAGAAUUAAGAAUUGAAGAUCCAGUAUGGUUUACGGCUUAUAAUGAACCAUACCAAUAACAUUGAUUUAUUUAAUUUUUUUACAAAUGGCCUCAAUAGUGCAAGUACUUUGUUGAGAAUGUUGGAAAUUCUAUUGUGGUUAAGAUUUAGGUUGAUUUUAGAAAGAAACAAAAUCCAAAACACCUUGUUGAAAAAGAAAAGAAAAUAACCAUUUAUUUGUUCAAAAUCCCUUAUAACUUGGAUGCUUAUUAGAGAUUUAAGCUCAAAAUAGGCAAUAAAAACUAAACCAAUAAACCCAGAAUUGGGAGAACCAAACCGAUCAAUAUAAUUAAACUGGUUUUCAAUAAUACCUAGUCCAUAAUUCCGUAUAUAUUAAAAUUAAACCAACCUAUGCAAAUCUACCUCUAAGACUCAACUCAAUUUGUUCUUGUGGUAGGACAUAAUCGAUGUUUUAGAAACUGAAACGGAGCAAAAUAUAAAGGUGGUUAUCAAAAAAUGAGAUUAUGGUAAUAAAAGCACAGACAUACCAUAUGCGGCAAUCCCUGAACCGAGCGAGCUGUUUCAGUGAAACUCUCCAUCCCAGGUAUAGUCUAGUAAUAAUAACAUAAAAGUGUGAGAGAGCAAGAGAAGUAACAAUAUCACAUAGCUACUCAUGACAAGAACCGAGAUGAUUGAUGACUCAACAAAGGCCUUGGUCCAAAUAACAUAAAUAGCAUAGUUUAUGAGCUAUAUGUCUAUUCUACAUGCAUAGGCAAUUACGAGACGAGACUUGUCAAAUUAAAUAGUGAAAUAAUAAAGAAAAAGAUGAAAAAAAAAAGGGAAGAUAAAAAGAAAAUCGUUUUCUCUUCAUCCAAAUAUGAUAAAAACUAAUACAGCCAUAUAAGUGAAAGACAGAAGCAGCACAUAGCGUCUAAUAGAAUCAUCAUUAAUUAGCUUAGCCAUUAUGCACACCACUCAAUCAAAAUUUCUCAAUUCAAGAUAUGGAAAUUAAGUCACUCACCUGCACUAAGGACGGGUUAAAUAGAACAUCAGGAAUCUUGAAUCUGUCGGCUCCAAUCUCAAUAGUCCUGUUCCAAGCAUGAAGGAGAACAAAAGUAAAAAAGAUGAUUUAAAGAAGAAAAAGAGAAGGGGAAAAAAAGUACUGAGACUAGGAGAAGUUGCAUAGCUAAUAACCAAAAGUUCGCAAUACAGGAAAAAGGGAAAACAUAAGUUAAGACAAAAGUAUCAAUCCAUGCUUGAAAAUGUAAUCAUCCAAAACUCUCUUAAACGACUUACUGGCCAUCAGGAAGUUCAUAUGGCGUCAUUGGGAUAUUUGAAUAUGCACUUUCUGCAUAGAUAGAAAUAUAAUACCACACUAAUUAGCAUGCAACAUGCAGGAUCCUGUGAAAUAAAUACGAUGCAAGAAUGGUAGGGUCAAAGGGGAAAUUCAAUAUAACAUAUCUUCUCAUGCUCACAAGCAUAAAUUAGAAUACUCCUUUAAAGGGAAAGAAAACUAACAAUAUAUGAAAGCCUAUGUAUGAGAUGCAAAACAAUAAAAAGACAUGCCAUGCUCAUUCUUCACGUCAAAGAUAAAUUAAUGAACCAACUCAAUAAAUUCUAGCAACUAAAGAAAUUAAGGAAGGGCAAACCAUCAUAAGGAGUAUCUGGUGCUCGGCAUACACAUUCUUUUAUAUCACUGGCAAUGACCCUCUGUCAAUAUAGAGUAUUUUACUCAAAAAUUGAGCUAGCAAGAAUGAUAACUGGGAUUAUUUAUGAUCAAAAAAAUACCUGUGAGUACAGUUUGUAACUUUCAGUUGUGUUUGGGAAAUCAAGUUCCACUAUCUACAAAAGAGAUAAAUGAAAUGUCAAAGAACUAAUGACCAACAACAAUUAACAGUUAAUGAUAACUUGAAGGAGUAUACUCCUUUGAAUUUGUGAUAUACUACAACUACAAGUACCACAAUUCAAAGAUUUUUCUAUUAUUUUAUAUAAUUAAUAGUUUAAAGGUAAUGCCUGAAAUUCUCCUGGUCGAAUUUCCUUUCUCUUGAAGGAGUAUCUUGGCAUUAUCUGCAAGCAUAAUGAAAGGUAUGUUUCAGCAGUUGCACACUUGCACAAUAAAAUAAGAACAUAAUUUUUCGUGAGAGAGAACUUGAUAAUUUCAUUGAUGAAUUUACAUUGAAAAUGAAUUACAAAAAGGAUCACCAUGUACAACAAAAUAAAGAUAAAGAAUAAGAGUUACUGCCAAUAGUACCUUGAUACCUUUGCUCUCCAAACUUUUUAACAAACAAUCAGUAAGAAAAUCUCCACCAACAGGAGAAGAUACAACAGCCUGAACAUUAAUUCUUUGAUUAUUCCAUAUUUACAUAAAUAGAGCAUAAGGCAGAUAAAUAGAUAAAUAAAAUUUAGCCAAGAUUACGCAAGUCUUUAUAUCCACUUCAAAAUACCUUUUGAAAAACAUAGCCAUCAUGUACCGGAGCGACAGUUGUUGAUCCACCACCACUGCAUGUAUCAAUCAUUUAAAACCCAAUUGCUUACAGCCAGAAAACAUUCCCGCACUAAAGUUAUCGUAUAGAAUAACUCAAUCUCAAUGAAAUGGAUGUUUGGAUGUAAAAUUACAAUUCAACUUAACUUCUACCAAGAAUUUAUAAAUAUGCCAUUAGUCUCCAAACCUUGAAAAACUGAAUGAAUAAAAAAAACCCGAAGUGUCUUUUAACUUUUUUUGUCCUAUCUGUGAGUGUCUGAGUCAACUUCCGAGUACCUCGACUAAUCUAACGGGACAACCCGCCUAACCCUACAACAUUUGGGUGUCAAAGAAACUCGUAGGAAAAUAAUUCCUAGGUAGGUGGCCACUAGGGAUUGAACCUACGACCUCUUAGUUAGUUAUCAAGACUUUGCCUCCAUUUUUACCAUUGGGCCAACUCAUGACAGUUGUAUCUUUUUAACUAUCUGUUUUAAAAACUAUGAAAAUUUCCAGAAUCCAUUUGAUUUUGACAUAUGACUUAACCAUACAAUGAACUAAUUCUUUUCCAGAUUUGAGGGGCGAACUAUCAAAAUAAUCGGCAUAUAACUGAGUCAAGAAAAGACAAGAACUACUAAGAAUAAAAUAAUUAGAAACUGAUUAGACACGAUAUGCAAAAACACUAUCUAUUCGGUAAUAUUAAGAUAUAACAAUAGAUUCUGAUGAAAUCAGAUCAAUGAAUUCAUUAUUGAGCAAGAAAAUGAUAUUAUUAAAGCCUUGGCCCACCAAGUUUCAAAGAGACAAUAUGCAAUGGUCAUACAAUAAGUAUAUGUAGUAUAGGAUCAGCUGAUACCUGUCAACAACGAGUGAUGUAGCACGACCUGAUGCAAAUGACGUGAGAACCUAGAAUCCAAGUUUCAAUGAAUGAGUUUUAAAAAACAAAGCAUGAUCAAUCAAUGAGGACACCAAAAAAGAAAUAAAAAACAAUUAAUUUGAGGGGAAGCAUCUGAAAACGGAGUAAAUAGGAAAAACAUACAGCAUUUUUUGCCAAAAACAAUGCAGGAACUUUGUACUUCUCAAACAUAAUCUCAGCCGUCCUGUCAGAAAAAGUCUUAUUAAAUAAUUGAACUCAGUGUAAAUCCCAUAUGGAACAGAAAAAGGAGUUUAUCUGAGACUGAUUACUUUUCUCUCUGUUGUUGUGAAUUAGAAGAUGGUUCUGCAAGUAGCAUUGGAUGUUCUUGGGGAUCAAUAAGUAGACAUUCCCUGAAAGGAUACAAAAAAAUCAUAAAAGUUAUUAUGAAGUUAAGUAAAUUCUACAAGAUGUAGAAUAAAUAAGAAAAACACUUGAAGUAAGUAGUUUCUAACUGCUUGCACUAGAUCUAGAAAAUGUCCCAAAUUUUCUCCACGGAUUUGUAACAAAGAAUAAUACAUAGGAUUAGUCACAAGAAAAGGGUCUCAAUGAGCAAUUUUCUCUGUUUGCUUCUCUCUUUCACCAUCUAGGACCUCCUUAUUCUGAGUCUACUUUUAUCAUCUCUAACAUAGUUUCUUUUAAAAGCAGUGAAGAAUGAGUGAGUGUCCCUUCCAAUGAUCUGUGUAAGAUUGAGUGCACUAACUUUUCUGUUGGUUUCAGAAUUUUUUUUUUAGGAAAUCAGAUACUUAAAAUCACGUAUCUGGACGUAUUAGUCUCAUAUGUGUAUCUAAUAUCAAUUCUAUACACAAUUUGAAGUAUCUAUAUUUCAUAGGUGGCCACAAAAAGAAAUUAUGCCAGAACUCUCAAGACGAUGUGACUGACAUCCGUAAACAUAAAAUAUGACGAAAACUCUUCGAACCAUGAAGAAAAAAAAAAUGAAAUGGACAAAGAGGAGCAUGACAAGAAUUCCAAAAGAAAUCAUAUGUCAAUGAGACAUGAUGUAAUAACAUUGAUGCUACCCGCUAACAAAUUAUUGGUAUCUUUUAUAUGUUAAAAAUGAAAAGAAGAUAAAACACAAUAGAGUAUGCCCGAGUUAAUCCAAGUUAUUGGCUUGAUUAAAUAAGCACAUCGACAAACCUGAAUAUAGGAAGGAAAAAGAAACAAAAAAGAAAAAACACAUGACCUAGAUAACAGAACUUCCAUUACAUUAUGCAUUAGCAAGACUAAUGAAGUGAAUACUCCAUAGCAUUUAAAGGCUGCAAAAUAAAGGGAUUACAAGAUUCUAUUAAUUACCUGAAAGCAUGAUCCCAUAUGCUAUCGACCAUAUCCCAGUCAACAACAACUCCAUCCUUAAUAGGCGAGAGUACCUAAUGAAUCACACGAUUGAUAUAACAUUUUCUUAGUAUAUAGAAUACAGCCACAAAAUUCCAAAUAACUACCAAUGACAGGAAACAACUUACCUCCAUAUUAUCACGGCGGAACCCUAAAGCUUGAGAACCAACAUAUAGUUUGCGUUUUCCCUUGCCUUUAUCGGAGUCGAGAGUUUUAGCAUUACUCUUAGAUUCUCCAGCAGAUCCAGAGUUCUUUUCGGUACUUGUAGUGUCAUCAACAUCCAUUUCAUCGGUACAUCCAACAACCUUAUCAAACAAAGGUAAAGGGUUGAGAUAGAUACAGCUAUAUGCCUUACAUCAUUACAGAAGCAAUAACAGACCUAUCAGCUACCACAGGCAUCAUAUAAACCAAUCAUAUAUUGAAAUGUACGUAGAAAUAUAGCUGUUGUACACACCAUCUCUCACAUGGUCCUUAUAUGGGCAAGAACCAUUUGUCAUAUAUCAUUUUCUUUCCCAUGGAAUCUUUCUACAACACUACCUCUCAAGUUCAGUUCAGUUUAUGUCAAUUAAAAGUAGAAAGAAGAACAAAAAUCACGAACUCUACUACCACAACCAAGAACAGAAAUCACAAUUAUACCAGACAUCAAUCUCAGAUCCUCCUAAUAAUAACUUAUCAUUGUCACGCCAAGAAUUGGAUUGCAUUGCUAUCAGGUCUUAUCCCAAAAAAAGAAAUAUCCCAACCCAAAACUCUAAGAAAAAAUGAAAAUUUCAACUCAUUAGAAACCAAAUUUCGCAUUGCUUAAUCAAAACUCUCAGUUACCAAAAUUGGUGAUGUAGGACUGGUUUCUAGAACUUUCAACAUUUAAUUACACCUACAAGACUUCAGGAAUGACCACAAAAUUGAUAUUGGAACUCGAAAGUGGCAAGCACUUCACACUUUCACUCUGACACAUAAACUGGGCGCGGCAAAUCAAUGCAGCCAACAAAUCCUAAAAAAAAACAUCCAAAGCUCAAAAACCUGAUCGUUCUGUGCAGCUCAACAACUAAAUCUCGCCCUAAUACGACAAUGAACACUCAAAUAGUUGACAAAAUCGAGACCACCAGAAUGUAGCCCGCCAUAAGCAUCAAUAUUAUACACAGAACAUGUCAAAUGCAGGGAAUGCUUACAGAAGGGAAAACAGCCUUAGGAGCAUCUUCUCCAGCAUAACCAGCUUUGCAAGUGUGAGAACCCAGAUCAAUAACUAUAGCAGAUACCUCGUCUGUAGAAGAACGAACAAUUUAUGGGAAUUAAAGCAGAAAUAAUUCAUGGAUAAACGCGGGACCAUGCGUAUAUUUGAAGAGGAUAGGAAAUUCGGAAUACUCACCACCACCAUACAUGGCUGAAGAAUUCAGUGGAGGAAUAAGAGUGAAGUUAGGGUUUUUGAGCCUUUACCUAAAACCCAAUUCUAGGAAGGGUUAGGGAACACAGGACAGAGUUCCGACUCCGAGCUGGAUAGAAGUAGAAUUAAACCUCAACCCCGGAAGCUUAUUGACUUGCCAAGUGAUCGGCCGGCAACCGGUGAAGUACAGUGGUCGGAAUCUCCCUUCUCAGUACCGGAAGAUGAAGGCCCAAUUUUUCGCCCAACAAAAUACGAUGACGGCCCAAUACAAUAUUUCUUUUUCUCCCGUUUCGGCGGUCUCUAAAGUUUGAACUUAAAUUAUUUAAUUUUCUAGAUAUUUAAAACUUUAUAAAAUGUUUAUAAAUGAAAAAUUGUAAAAAAUAGCAAUAAAAUAUUUUCAUAUCCUAUCCAGUUUAAUAAAUUUUAAUUGAUUUAACAUAUACUUGUGUUUAAAUAUAAACAUGUAGGUCUCUUGAUUUAAUAUAUAGUGUUUUGCUGCUUUAAUGUAUUAUUCUUAUUUUAAAUUUAUAGUUUGUUAAAUAUAUAUAAGAUAAGAAUAUGUUAAUUUUUAACCCUAAAUUCCAUAAAAUAAGAAUAUGUUAAUUUUUAAUGCUCUUCUUCUCUGAAGUUUUAAGAAACCGCCCCUACAAAAUUAUUUCAAUUAAUCUUUUGUCUUAUCAAAUUAAACAAAUUUCAACUAGAUAAUUAAUUUUACUUUUUUAGAACUUAAAUAAAAGCUUUUGAAACUUUAUAAUCAACACAAAAUAAAAUUGCCCAAAAAAUUAUCUAAACAUUCAUAUUAUUACUAACAUUUGAGGCUAUAUUUCAUAAUAGUAAUUUAUAAAUUAAUAGCAAAUAUAUCUUUGAGGUGUAGAUUAUUUUAAUUUUAAUUAUAAUAAUAUUUAUUUAAGAGGUAAAUUAUUUUAGUUUGAAAAGAAAAUAGUAAAUACCGUAGCAAACUAUACUUUUGAAACAACGUUGUAAUUUUAAUAAAUAUUGUUGUAAAAAAGUCACUCCCAAUCAAGGCCAUAUGUCCUUACUUUGGAAUUUCUAACCUUUCACACAUACUUUUGUUUCAUUGUCUAUCAAAACAAAUUUAUCGUUUGUCAUCUAACAAGCUUCAACAAUUGUUACGAUGAGAUAUACACCGUAAAGAUUUAGUAUAAUGUACUUUUGUUUCAUUAACUAUGAAACCAUUUUAACUCAAUUUUCAAAUAGUAUGAUACCGAAAAAUAUAUAGUACAAUUUUAGGUGUCUAGGUUUUGAAUCUAAUUUCCAAAAGGUCUCUAGAAAGUUUUGAACACGUACAGUUAUUAGUAUUUAAAUUUUGAGUUUCAAUAUUACUGUUAAAGUGUGACUUUCGUUUUAAAUUAGUUAUUAGGUUUUGAAGUUUAAAAUAUGGUUGUUAUAUUAAAAAAAAACCUCAGAAUGUUACUAUAGAGUCAAAUAAUUAAUUAUAUGAGAUAAAUAUAUUCAAAUUAUUGAUAAAAGCAUAUAGUACUCUACAAUGUAUUUAUUUAAGAAAAGCUUUGUUAAGAUUGUGGUGUGGGUGUAUGAAUCCAACUGUAAUGGAUAUAUUUAUUAAUUGCCUAGAGGUUGUCGUCAAUUUCAUACACAAACGAGAUUACCAAUAAUACAUUAAAAUUUUGUUAAUACAACUUUAAUGCUCACUAAUUGCCAUAUUAAUUAUAUAUCUUAUAAAACUAUUAAUUAAUUAAAAAGUUUGAAAUUUGUAGGUUGAUUUUUUAAAAUAUUAUAUUGCUUAAUAUUUGAAGCUAUAUUUCAGCCUAAUGUUUUGAUAAAAUAUUUUCAUUUCAAAAUUUUGAUAUGAGAUUUGAAUAUGAAUAUAACCAAAAGAAAAUUUGAGAUAAACCAAUCCGGUCUUGAAUUUGAAAUAUUUUAUUUUAAAAAGAUAGUUGAGUUAAACAUUAGAAUAUGUCCAAUUUCAAUUAUAGAGUAAUUGUUAGAUGUAUAGGUAUACAAAAAUUUUACAAUUAUACCAUCAAACCUUAAUGUUUAAUUUUAGACAUUGGUUACUUGUUUUUGUAUUUUUGCAUAAAGGUUUUGUGCAAGCAUCUAAUUGCAACGUACUAAAAGUUUUUUUUUUUUUUUUUUUCAAAUUGAUCAUAGUUUUAUUUAUUUAUUUAUUAUUUGGAUACUAUGGGUAGUAGAAGAAUUAAUAAAUAAGAUGAGAAUAAAGUUAGCAAAUUACAAAACCAAAGGUACAUAAAGUCAAUACUCUGAAAACCACUAUGUUUCUUACAAACCAAUCUCUAUAAAAACCCCAAAAUCCCAUCACUUCCUUCUUCAUAAAUUCCUUUUAUAUCUUCAUUGCAACAUCAUGAACACUUCACUUUCCUAUGCUUUUCUCUUCCUAACAUUCUUCGCUUCCCUUCACUUCCCAUCAAUUCUCUCUCGCAAACUAACAACACAAUCUCCUUAUUCCACUAAUACCUUUGAUGUCUCGGCCUCCAUUAACCAAGCCUUAAAUGCCCUUUCCAUCAAACCCAAAUCCUUUCAAACUUACUCUAGUUACCAUUCAAGUUCACCUUUGUCUCUCUCAUUGCACCCUAGAUUGACUGUUCAUAACUCUUCUUACAAGAACUAUGGUAGUCUUGUUAGGGCCUGACUUGCUCGUAAUGCCGUCCGAGUUCGAUCCCUUAAUAGAAAGCUUGAGCUCUCUUUAAAUGAGGGCAAACAAUUUGGUAAAAAAGUUAAUGGAUCUCAGUGUACAAAUUCACUUACUGCGCCGAUUUUUUCAGGGGAGAAUCAGGGGAAUGGUGAAUAUUUUGUUGGGAUGCGCGUCGGCCAGCCUCAACAACCGUCUUUUUUUGUGCUUGAUACUGGCAGUGAUGUUACGUGGCUUCAAUGCCUGCCCUGUGCUGGUAAGAAUGGUUGUUAUGAACAAAUAACCCCGAUAUUUGACCCAGAAUUGUCGUCUUCUUACAAUCCAGUGUCUUGUGAUUCGGAACAGUGUCAAUUGUUGGAUGAAGCUGGUUGCAAUGUCAAUUCUUGUAUCUACAAAGUUGAAUAUGGGGAUGGAUCAUUCACAAUCGGUGAACUCGCCACCGAAACGUUAACAUUUGUACAUUCUAAUUCCAUUCCUAAUAUCUCGAUUGGUUGUGGCCAUGACAACGAAGGCCUCUUCGUUGGGGCCGAUGGUUUAAUUGGCCUCGGUGGUGGGGCCAUUUCCAUUUCUUCUCAAUUAAAAGCAUCAUCAUUUUCAUAUUGUCUAGUCGACAUAGACUCACCAUCAUUCUCCACUCUUGACUUCAACACAGACCCACCAAGCGACUCACUCAUCUCCCCACUUGUUAAAAAUGAUCGAUUUCCCUCAUUUCGAUAUGUGAAAGUAAUUGGAAUGAGUGUCGGCGGAAAGCCUUUACCGAUUUCCUCGUCAAGAUUUGAAAUCGACGAAUCAGGAUUGGGGGGAAUAAUUGUGGAUUCUGGAACGACUAUAACACAACUACCAAGUGAUGUGUAUGAAGUGUUAAGAGAAGCGUUCCUGGGGCUAACAACGAAUCUCCCACCGGCACCAGAGAUAUCACCGUUUGAUACUUGUUAUGACUUAUCAAGUCAGUCGAAUGUGGAGGUGCCAACCAUAGCAUUUAUUUUGCCAGGGGAAAACUCGCUACAACUACCAGCAAAAAAUUGUUUGAUCCAAGUGGACUCAGCUGGAACUUUCUGCUUGGCGUUUGUUUCAGCAACAUUCCCGCUUUCUAUCAUUGGAAAUUUCCAACAACAAGGAAUACGUGUCAGCUAUGACUUGACCAACUCCCUCGUCGGCUUCUCGACUAAUAAAUGUUAAAAUUCAGCUGACACGUUGGUGGGAUUAGAGUGGUUUAAUUUGGGUUUGUUACAUUAUUUUAAGCCAAUAAAAUACUAUUGCUUCUCAUACAUUGUAUAAAAAAAGUUCAUUCAACAGUGGGUCGAAUUAAUCAAAUCAUGUCAAUGUAUUUUCUUCAUGUUACUGAUAUUGUUUGUCGACUAAUAUGUCAACCAAUUAUGAGAACAACGGUACAAAUGUUUUCUAAUCAUGAAAUUUAAAAUAGGGAGGUGAUGAACCAAAAGUCUCGAUCGAUCAGUGGAGGAAUGUGAGUGAGGUUAGGGUUUUUUAGCCUUUACCUAAAACCCAAUUCUAGGAAGGGUUAGGGAACACAGAACAAAGUUCCGACUCCAAGCUAGAUAAAAGUAGAACUAAACCUCAACCAUGAAAGCUUAUUGACUUGCCAAGUGAUCAGCCGGCAACCGGUGAAGUACGAUGGUCGGAAUCUCCCUUCUCAGUACUGAACGAUGAAGAUCCAAUUUUUGCCCAAGAAAAUACAAUGACGGCCCAAUACAAUAUUUCUUUUUCUCCCGUUUCAACGGUCUCUAAAGCUUGAACUUAAGUUUUUUUUUUUAGAUAUUUAAAACUUUAUAAAAUGUUUAGUAAAUCCUUAUUUAAGAUAUAAAUUACAAUAGAUUCAUACCUUCUAAAUUUUAUGUUUAAACAUAGACUAUCUAUAUAUCAUAUUUUAAAAUUCUCAAAUUUCAAUUAUAGUUAAGAGAGAACAUCUUCCUAACACAUUGCUAUCUAACUUGCAUGCGACCAACCACAAAGUUUUGAUGAUGCUCUAAACAAAAUGAGUGUAUAAAAAAAAGAAACAUUGAUUCAAGUAGGCCUAUGAGAAAGAUGGUAAGUUAGUUAGCCAAUUGUGAUUGGACGAGUUUGUUUAACUAUUAUUGGACACUAUUUUAUUCAAGUCUUUUCUCAUCUUGUUGUGUUUAUUGGCAAAGAUCCAAUCAACCCUACAUGUUAUAUUUAUUCAUUUAAGUAUCUCUUUUCUAUACUUUUUAGUUUCCCUCUUUUUUCUACUUGAGAUAACUUUAUUGUCUAUAGAAUAAUUUAUCUCUCAAAUGUAUGCUUCCAAUAAAUCAAAAAUCACAAAAUAAAAAUACAAAAUAUUAGUUCUUUAAUAACCUUUUCAAUCAUAUCAAAUCAUUUUAAAAUAAACUAGGUUUACAAUUAGAUCAUUUAAAAAUUUUAAAAUUGUACUCGAACACGAUAUCGAUCAUUAUUAUCAUUACAAAUUAAAGUAAAACUACACUUUCAACUUAAAGACACCAAAAAAGAUAUGGAUUAGUUAGAAAAGGGAGAAGUAGAUUAAUCCUUCACGCCAGAGUGCUAUUUUUAGGGGUUUUUUUUUUUUUUUUUUGCCCUUUUUCUUUUAGAUGGCCACUAAGGAAAAAAGAAAAGUAAUAAAGUAGGUUAAGGUUGUUCUUUCUUUUUUCGAUAAUUGAUAGAUGUGAAAAAUUGAAUCUUUAACCUUCGUAGUCUAAAAAUUUAUGUUAAUUUAACUACACAUACUUUUAAUCACAUGAAUAAUCGAAAGAAAACAAAUGUAAUGUGUGUUGUAUUUAGAAUAAUUAUUAAUUCAUUAUUCAUGUUGAAAGACAAAUCUAAAGUUAAAGAUGAAUUUAUAAAUAAAGCAGUAUAUUAUUAAAUAUAUGAUGUGGAAUGUUUAAUAAAACUAAAAAAAAGUGUUUUUCUUUAGCGUUGUGAUUUCAUUAGUUGUUUGUUAUUAAGUAUCAUUUAAUAAAUUGUCAAAUGUUGAAUGGAAGGAAUAUGUACUCGACAUUUGGAGUACUAUAUAUAAAGUUUUUUAACAAAAACAAAAAAGGUUAGAAAAACGCUCAAACUAACCAAAUGGUUGUUCGAUCGAUUUAGCCGUUUUUAAAUGAAGAAAAUGAAUUAUUUUCAAUUGGUUUCAAAUUUGUUUAGACUAAAACGAAAAUUGGUUCGAAUAAUUAUGUUUCGAUUCAUGUUUAUUUCUUACAUAACUGAUAAGAUCAAUUACAUUUCAAUACUCUUAUGUCUUGACCAAACCAAAUCACUUGCACUCUUUUGUAUAUAUUAGUUGAAGUCCUUAAUUGAACAACAAUCAUUAAAAUGUAAUAAUGAAAAGAAAAAAAAAAUGUUGUAAAAAUGAGACCAUAAAAACUAGAGAAAAAAUAUUAAAAUAAACAUUAAAUUAAGAAAGUAUAAAAUUCUCCAAAAAUUACACUUUCUUCAAUUUAUUCGAAAAUUUUACAACGCAUGUGUCUUACAAAAAUCCACCAAAUGUCACCAUUUGUAAAUAAUUUGACAAACAUGAGUUGAAUUAUAUGAUCACUAAUAGUUAGCAUCUUCAAUAUAUAUAACAAUAUAGAUGAAAAAAGAGUGACAUAUGAGAUAUGACAUCGUAAUAUUUAUAAUAAAAGUAACUUUCUUCCACUAUAGUUAUUGACUAAUGACAAAGGGAGUAUCCAUCCAAUUGAUUUAACCUAUACUUUAUUUUAUAUAAACAUGUACGUCUCUCAUAUUGAUUUAAUAUAAUGUGAACAUAUAUAUAUGUUGAUUUAAUAUAUAGUGUGAACAUAUAUGUUUUGUUGCUUUAAUGAUUUAACAUGGAAUGAAUCUUAUCGUUUAAUUGUUAUUCUUUUAUAUUAUAUUAAAAUCCACUUGCGAAUGUUUACAUCAAUUUUUUUAAAAGUUAAUUUAAAUUACUCAUACUAUUUUAGUAUUUUAUAGUGUUAGGGAAAAAAAGCAAAAUUAAAAUCUUGAUUUUUAUUCAAUUUUAAGAAAAUGGGCAGUUCUAAUAAUUACUCCUUGUAAAAAAAGUUAUUUUUAUUUUUAAACUUUGACUAAGAAGUUAGCCUUAAUUUUUUUUUUAAGAAAAAGAGAAAACAAAAAUUAUUAAAUAUUUUUUUGGGGUAAUGCAAGCUAUUGAAUAUUGAUGAAAAAAUUAUAUUAUACUCCAAACAAAGGUUCGAAUUCCCAUUAUUUUUAUUAAUAAAUAAAGAGUCAAUUUAUUGAUGAGACCAUAACAAAAUAAAUUAAAAUAUUUACCACUUAUAACAAAAUAUUUUUGUUAUUGUAUAAAAUCUAAAUUUUUACUAUAUAUAUAUUAUAAAUAUUUUGUCAAAUUUAUUAUUUUUUACCCUUUUUUAUUUAUUUAAUAAUAUUAUGUUAUUUUUAUACUAUUUAACAGAAAUUUCUUACGAAAUUACAUAUCUAAAUUUUAUUGAUUUUUUCCUAAUUUAAACUCUUCUAAACACUCACUUAGAAAAUUGUUUAAAUUUAAAAUUUUCUUUGCUUCCAAUUAAAUAAAAAAAACUUCAACUAAAUAGUUAAUUUUACUUUUUUAGAAUUUAAAUAUAAGCUUUUAAAACUUUCUAAUCAAACCAAAAUAAAAUUGGCUAUAAAAUUAUCUACAUUGAUGUGUGUAUUUAUAUAGUUCAAUUUUUUUAAAAAAAUAUUAUAUACACAUAACAACAAAAGUAAACGAGGAAAAAGAUAAGAUAAAAUUAUCUAAAGAUGGAUUAUUAUUAGUAACAUUGGAGCCUAUAUUUCAUAAAAUAAAUUAAUAGUAAAUAUAUUAUUAGAGAAUUUGGAAUGUAAAUUAUUUUAAUUUAAAUUAUAAUAAUACGUAUUUAAAGGAUAAAUUAUUUAAUUUAAAAAUAUUAUAAAAUUUUAAUGUGAUAUGAUUAUUAGUAUAAUAUGUUUGUAAUCUAAAGAAAUAUUGUUGUGAAAGAGCCAAAACCCUAUCCUUCUCCCCUCCAAUCAAGGCCACAUUUCCUUACCUUGAAAUUUCCACCCUUUCACACAUACUUUUGUUUGUUUCAUUGCUAUCCAAACAAAUUUUGACAAAUACUUUUCAAUAAUUCCUAAUUUUUCUUCCAUUCAUUCUGUACUAUAAUAUACUUCUGUUUCAUUCCCUAUGAAUCCAUUUUAACUCGACUUUCAAAUAGUGUAUAUAUGUAAUAGUACAUUAGUAGAUCUUUACGGUUUGAAUCUAAUUUCUAUAAGUUCUUCACAAAGUUUGAAUAUGUAUACUUUUUAGUAUUUAAACUUUGAGUUUCAUUUCAAAUUAGCACGUAUGUUUGAAUUUUAGUAUUUAAACGUUGUUAUAGGGUCAAAUAAAUAAAAUAAAUAAUUAUAUGAGAUAAAUAUAUUCAAAUUAGUGUAUUUUCUUUUUAGAAUUUUUUUUAUUAAGAUUGUGGUGUGGGUGCAUGAAUCCAACUUCAAUGAACAUAUUUAUUAAUUACCUAGAGGUUGUCGUCAAUUUCAUACACAAACGAGAUUACCAAUAAUAGUGUGUAUCUAAGAGGGGAUUACAUUGAAACUUUGUUAAUACAACUUUAAUGCUCACUAAUUGCCGUAUCAAAUAUAAUUAUAAUAGUUAUAAAUCUUAUAAAACCAUUAAUUAAUUCGAAAUUUUAAAGUUUGUAUGUUGAUUUUUUUUUUAAUAUUGUAUACUAUUUCAAGUUAGUUCAGUUAAAUGUUUGGAUAAAACUAUUUCAUUUCAAAAGUUUUAAUUUUUCAAUUUCACUCAAAAUUUAAUAUGAGAUUUGAAUAUGAAUAUAAAAAAAAUAAUUGAGAUCAACUAAUCACACCAUGAAUUUAUAUUUUUUUAUUACCAUGAAUUUAUAUUUUUUUAUUUUUGAAAAUAGUUGAGUUCAAAAUUGUGGUUUUUUCAAAGUAAAUUUUUUUGACAAACUAUUUCAACUCCGUAAAACCAAAUAAUUAAAAGAUAAAUUUUUUUUUGAAGUGUAAAUAUUUUGUUCAAUGUUUUAUUUUUUACCAUUUCUCUUAAAAAUAUUAGAAUAUGUCCAAUUUUAAUUACAAAGUCAAUGCUAGAUUUAUAGGCAUAAAAAAUGUAUACAAAGAAAAUUGUUUUUCUUUCUUUUUGAACUUUCUUGUAAAUGAGUUUAAAAUUUAAACAUUUACAUGUUUGUUUAGGUCUUUCUAUAUAUAUAUAUAUAAUUUGAUUUAAAAAUUUAUUUUCUCAAAAUUUGGUUCUAAGUGUUUUCUUUAAAAUAGUUUAUUUUUUAAUCUUAUUUUUAAAAAUGCAUUUUGAAAAGUUAUCAAAUACCUCAAUUUUUUUAAAAUAUAAUUUAAACACUUUAAAUGCAAUCUAAACACAUCCUUAACAUCUAUUAAUUAAUUAACAUAAUUAUUAAAUAUUAAAAUUUAAACUUAAUUUUAUGGAUGAUGAAAAAUAUAUAGUUAAACUUAUACGUCAUGAGAUAUUUUUCUUUCUCCCAUUGGAGUUGGCAAUAGUAUUUGUAUGUUAUUGGGAUGUUACUUAAUUAUAAUUAUUAAAAAAUUAUUUAAUAGUAUUAUUUGAGUAUUUAGAAUUUAAAAUUGAAAAGUAUAGGAAAUAAAUGGAAACAAAACUUAAAUGAAGAAUAAAAGUAAAAUGGUGGGUUUAUUAAAAAUAAACACAAAAUAGAAAAAUAAAAAAAAAAUGUAAACAUAAAAUUUAUGAGCAAAUUACCAAAACUACUAAAAUCACUUAGGAAUCAAACUUAACUUAUUUGAACUACAAACAUUUGAUCUUUAAUUUUAGACUUGUUGGUUGUCUUUUUGUUUUGUUUUUGUAUUUUUGGAUGAAGGUUUUAUGGAUGGUAUAAUUGCAACCCAUCUCAUAUUUUAAAGGUUUUCUUUAUUUUCAAUUUGACCAUUUGAUUUGAUUUUUUUAUUUAUUAUUUGGAAACUAGCCGUAGUACAAUAAUUAAUAAAUACGAUAAGAAUAAGGUUUAGCAAUUUACAAAACCGAAGGAACAAGAAGGCAAUGAACAAAGUCCAUACUCCCAUCAAACAUCUCUCUAUAAAAACCCCAAAAUCCCAUCACUUCCUUCUUCAUAAAUUCCCUUUAUAUCUUCAUUGUAACAUCAUGAACACUUCACUUUCCUAUGCUUUUCUCUUCCUAACAUUCUUCACUUUCCUUCACUUCCCAUCAAUUCUCUCUCGCAAACUAACGACACAAUCUCCUUAUUCCACUAAUACCUUUGAUGUCUCGGCCUCCAUUAACCAAGCCUUAAAUGCCCUUUCCAUCAAACCCAAACCCUUUCAAACCACUCACUCUAAUUACCAUUCAAGUUCACCUCUAUCUCUCUCACUCCACCCUAGAUUGACCGUUCAUAACCCUUCUUACGAGGACUAUGGUAGUCUUGUUAGGGCCCGACUCGCUCGUGGUGCCGCCCGAGCUCAAUCCCUUAAUAGAAAGCUUGAGCUCUCUUUAAAAGGGGGUAAACAAUUUGGUAGAAGAAUUAAUGGAUCUGAUUCUACAAAUUCACUUACUGCUCCCGUUACUUCAGGGGCGAGUCAAGGAGCUGGCGAAUAUUUUGCUCGGAUUGGAGUCGGUCAACCUGUGCAAUCGUAUUUUUUUGUGCCUGAUACUGGAAGUGAUGUUUCGUGGCUACAAUGUCAACCAUGUGAUGGUGAGAAUGGUUGUUAUAAACAAAUUGGCCCGAUAUUUGACCCGAAAUCGUCGUCUUCUUAUAGUCCGCUGUCUUGCGAUUCGGAACAAUGUCAUUUGUUGGAUGAAGCUGCUUGUGAUGCCAAUUCAUGUAUCUACGAAGUUGAAUAUGGUGAUGGAUCAUUCACAGUCGGUGAACUUGCCACCGAAACGUUCUCAUUUCGACAUUCUAAUUCCAUUCCUAAUCUCCCGAUUGGUUGUGGUCAUGACAACGAAGGCCUCUUUGUUGGGGCUGCUGGUUUAAUUGGCCUCGGUGGUGGGGCAAUUUCCCUUUCUUCUCAAUUAGAAGCGACGUCAUUUUCAUAUUGUCUGGUCGACCUAGACUCAGAAUCAUCCUCCACUCUUGACUUCAACGCAGACCAACCAAGCGACUCACUCACCUCCCCACUUGUGAAAAAUGAUCGAUUCCCCACGUUUCGGUACGUGAAAGUAAUUGGGAUGAGCGUCGGUGGGAAGCCUUUACCGAUUUCCUCGUCAAGCUUUGAAAUCGAUGAAUCAGGAUCAGGGGGAAUAAUCGUGGAUUCUGGGACGACUAUAACUGAAAUACCAAGUGAUGUGUAUGACGUGUUAAGAGACGCGUUCGUGGGGCUAACAAAGAACCUCCCACCAGCACCAGGGGUAUCACCGUUUGAUACUUGUUAUGACUUAUCAAGUCAAUCGAAUGUGGAGGUGCCAACCAUAGCAUUUAUUUUACCAGGGGAAAACUCGCUACAACUACCAGCAAAAAAUUGUUUGUUCCAAGUGGACUCAGCUGGAACUUUCUGCUUGGCGUUUCUUCCAUCAACAUUUCCACUUUCUAUUAUUGGGAACGUCCAACAACAAGGAAUACGUGUCAGCUAUGACUUGGCCAACUCUCUCGUCGGAUUCUCGACUGAUAAAUGUUAAAACUCAACCGACAUGUGAGUGGGAUUAUAGUUGUUUAAUUUGGGUUCAUUACAUUAUUCUAAGCAAAUAAAAUACUAUAACUUAUCAUAGUACAUUGUAUAAAAAAAGUUUAUUAUAUUUAAUAGUGUGUUGAAUUAAUUAAUCAAAUAAUGUGAAUGUAUUUCUUUCAUAUGAUUGAUAUUGUUUGUCGACUAAUUACUCAACCAAUUACGAAAACAAUGGUACAAAUGUUUUCUAUUCAUAAAAUUUAAAAUAGAGAGGUGACGAACCAAAAGUCUCAAUCUAGUAAUUGAAACACUAAAACACAAAACAAACCCACAUAAUCGUUUUCUUCUAAAUUUUAAGCUAAAAAACAAAUAGACUAACUAUACUCUUAACGACCUCAAUGUAAAUUAAACCAUCGUUUUUAUCAAAUAACAACUUUAAAAUUAUGUUAAAUUUGCAAUUGCAAAGACUGCUUUGUUUUCUUCUCAAGAAAGGUGACAAAAAUUAACAAUGCUCUAAUAUAUAUAUAUAUAUUAUCAAUGAAAUAAACUCAAAUUUUAAUGUUAAGAAAAGCUUGAUGACCUACAAAAUGUGCUUCAAAUUAAUUCACAUCUCUAGUCGAAUAUUGGAUGUUGACCACUCCGACUCAAUUAUUGUUCUCAUCCCAUGGUUUACUUAAUUAUAAUCUCUUUUAUAUUGUUAAUUAUUGAUAUAAUCCUCCAUGGGUUGCUGUUUGCCAAAAUAGUAACAAUAAAUGUCUAUUUUAUGACAAUAAUGAACUCUAAAUAGAUUGUGACAUGAAUUAUUGCACAUUAUUAUAAUCCAAAACAUCAUUAUAAUUUACUUAAAAUAAUUUGCACAUGAGGGGUAGAUUAUUUUACUUUCAAUUAUAAAUAGUAUAUGUUUGACACGUAAACUAUUUUAAUUUUAGAAAAAAAUAGUAAACAAUACUAUAGCAAAGAAUAAAAAAUAAUGAAUAUAAAAUCGUAAAAAUGUUGCAAAUAGUAAAUAUUGUAGUAAAUAGAGGAUUUUGUGUCCUCAAAUUUUCUUUUUUCUUAAGUUAUGGAAAAUAGUAAUGAUAACGUUAGUACUAUUAUGAACAAUAACAUUUUUCUUUAAAAAAACAUAUUAUAUGAUAAAAUAGCAAAGAUGAUUUUACAAUUUUUAUUAAACUUUUAAUUCAAUGGUCACAAUCAAAUGUAAUAAGAAGUCAAAUAAUAAUAGUUUUGAGUGAAUGCAAAGUGUAUAUGUUUGUAUUAUCAAUUAAGAAUGAAUUAUUAGGCCGGAAUGGAGGGGGUGAAAAUUAAUUAAAUAUAUAUAUAUAUGGUCUAUGAAUAAAUAUAAAAUAGUUGAUAAUUUAAUUAUAUGAAAUACCAAUUGAAUUUUCAAAGUAAAUGAGUGUUUGAUUGGAAGAAAUAUUAUCAAUUAUGGGUGCAAAAUUAUAUUAUUAGCAACAUGGCAAAGGACCCACAAAGAAAAAGGUUAAAGCAUUAUUUUCUCCCCAAAAUUGUUGGAUUAUUUCGAUUGAUAUUAAAAUAAAAUAGUUUAUGUGUUUUCUUUUAAUAUAGAUUUUAUAACUAAACAAAUUAUUACCUUUUUUAAAAAAUUAUGAUUUUAGUUUAUGAUACUAUUACAUAAAUAUGAAAAUGAAUAUAAGUUUGUUGGGGUGAUUUAAUAACUUUUAACUAAUUAAAUAAUCAUCUGUUUACAUUUUAAAUUUUCAAUUUAAUUUAGGGAUAAAAAAUUGAUUUUUUUAUAUAAAUAUAUUAAAAUGGAUCAAAAUAAAUAUAAAGAUAACAAAACGUUAAUAGUCUAUCGAUGAUAUCACUAAUUGCAACUAUCAUCAUUUAUUAACAAUACUAAUAGAUAUCUAUUAUUGAUAAAGAAUACAAUCUUAUUAUAUUAAUAAAUAUUUUUAACCGUUCCAUUCAAAAUAAUUACUCUAAGAAUAUAUUUAUUUAGUAUUUGGACACAAACCCUACAAACAAGUAGUAAACAAAAACUUAACUUAACUGACACUUAGUUACAUUUGAAGAUUAAAAUAUUUCAAUUCGAACAAGAUAAUAGGCAGUAAAAAAGAAUAAUUAUGAUAAAGAAUAAAGUUUGGAAGAUGGGCAUGAACAUCAAAAGUCAAAUCAAUCUUUAGAAAAUCAAUAAUGUUUUCACAUAUCAUUUUCUAUAAAAACCAACCAAUGUCUUCACUUCCAUCUUCAUCCAAUAAUUCAUUAUCUUUUCAUUCCCAACAUGAACACUUCACUUUCCUCUGUUUUUCUCUUCCUAACAAUCUUCACUUCCCUUCAAUUCCCUUCAAUUCUCUCUCGCAAGUUAACACCAUCUUCCUAUUCCACUUCCAUCUUCGAUGUCUCUGCCUCCACAAACCAAGCCCUAGAUGCCCUCUCCAUUAAACCCAAACCUCUUCAAAAUCAUUCUCACCUUCCAAAUUCCCCUUUCUCUCUGCCAUUGUACCCUAGAUUGGCCCUUCAUAACCCUUCUUACAAGGACUACAAUACCCUUGUUAGGGCCCGACUCACUCGUGAUGCCGCUCGAGUUCAAUUCCUUAACCGAAAUCUUGAGCGCUCUUUAAAUGGGGGUACUCAUUUUGGUGAAAGUAUUAAUGAAUCUCUAAUUGGAGAUUCAAUUACUGCUCCGGUUGUUUCGGGGCAAAGUAAAGGGAGUGGUGCUGAGUAUUUAGCUCAGAUUGGGGUUGGUCAGCCUGUGAAGUUGUUUUAUUUGGUGCCUGAUACUGGUAGCGAUGUCACGUGGCUUCAAUGUCAACCUUGUGCUAGUGAGAAUACUUGUUAUAAACAAUUUGACCCUAUUUUCGAUCCGAAAUCAUCGUCUUCAUACAGUCCUCUGUCUUGCAAUUCUCAACAAUGUAAGUUGCUAGAUAAAGCCAAUUGCAAUUCCGACACAUGCAUAUACCAAGUCCACUACGGUGAUGGAUCAUUCACAACUGGUGAACUCGCUACCGAAACACUAUCGUUUGGAAAUUCAAAUUCUAUUCCUAAUCUCCCAAUUGGUUGUGGGCAUGACAAUGAAGGCUUGUUUGCUGGUGGAGCUGGUUUAAUAGGCCUCGGUGGUGGGGCCAUUUCCCUUUCUUCCCAAUUAAAAGCGUCAUCAUUUUCAUAUUGCCUCGUCAACUUAGAUUCAGACUCAUCCUCCACUCUUGAGUUUAACUCAAACAUGCCCAGUGACUCGUUGACCUCUCCGCUCGUGAAAAACGAUCGAUUUCACUCGUAUAGGUACGUCAAAGUCGUUGGAAUAAGUGUUGGGGGAAAAACUCUACCAAUUUCACCGACAAGAUUUGAAAUUGAUGAAUCGGGAUUGGGAGGAAUAAUCGUUGAUUCUGGUACAAUUAUAUCUCGACUACCGAGUGAUGUCUAUGAAUCAUUAAGAGAGGCAUUUGUGAAGCUGACGAGUAGCCUAUCACCGGCACCAGGGAUAUCAGUGUUCGAUACAUGUUAUAACUUUUCAGGUCAAUCGAAUGUGGAGGUCCCAACAAUAGCAUUUGUGUUGUCGGAAGGAACCUCGCUACGACUACCUGCAAGAAAUUACUUAAUUAUGUUGGACACAGCAGGAACUUAUUGUUUGGCGUUUAUUAAAACGAAAUCUUCACUUUCUAUAAUUGGUAGCUUCCAACAACAAGGAAUACGUGUUAGUUAUGACUUGACAAACUCCCUCGUUGGAUUCUCAACUAAUAAAUGUUAGUACCAUAAACUUAUAAUAACUCAUGUAACACCACGUGGGAUUAGAAUUUGGCUUUAAUCACAUUGUUCUAAGUCAAUAAAAUAUUGUUGUUUAUCAUACACAUGGGCUUUGCCUAUGAAAGUCUUAAUUUAGUAGUGUGUUGAACUAAGCAAAAAUAAAACAAAAACAAAAAAAGUUUCUUUCUUCGUAUUGUUAUCGUUCCUAAGAAACAAAUUAUAGAGAAGUUUUAUAUUCCUAAGAAAUGUGAAUGUAGAAAGUUUUUGUUAAUGGAUUUGUAAUUCUCUCUUAAUAACAACAAGAUUGCAAAGUUCACAUCCUUUGGUAUUUUCCAUACUUUGUUUUGGUUUAUUAUUUUCACAAUAUAUGUGGGAACAAAUAAACAUCUAAUCUCUUUUACAUUGAAUGGGUCAGGGCUUUGUUGUUUGGACGACUUUGAAAAAGACGAGUUAGGACUCAAGUCAACAAGCAUACCCCACAAACUCUGCUCAUUGAUUCUUAUAAUUUCUCUUUUGUUUGAUUCACUCAUUCCUUUAGCUGUUUUCCAUUUCAAAACUUCAAAAUUAUGGAAUGACGUAAUUGAUACCUUUACGUAGGGUGUGGAGUUUACUAUUCGAAUUAAAUUGCUUCUUCUUCUGUAUAAAAUUUAACUACAAAACAAAAACUGUUGAAUGAAACGUUGGGGGCUUAGGGCCUCCCCAUGUGGCCGCCGGCAGCGUGAUUAUGGGAAACUUCUGGGUGAUUUUCGUUUAUUAUUUUCCUUCUUCAUCGUUUUCUCCAUUUAUGGAUUCACAACACCCAAAUUUUUAUAUAUAAUUAUUUUUAUCUUUUAUGCUUCUUUUCUUCUUCUUUUUCUUUUUAAAAAAAACCAAAAAAAUUAUAUAUAAUAUUUUAAAUUACUAUGAAUUUCUUUUUAAGUGAAGUUUUGGGUUCUUUUUAUUUACAAAUGUAUUGUUUCUAUUGAGUUUUAAGUUUGGUUUUGAUCCAAUUCAUACACACUAAUUAAUUUAAUAGAAAUAGAAAUAAAUGUAAAAGUGAAAAAACAAUGAAUUUAAGUAUCAAAUAAAAACUAAACUAAAAAACUUAGGAGUAAAAAUUUAAUUAUAAAAUCUAAAUUAUAAACUGAAAAGAACCAAAGAGGCAUUUUCUAAGAAACAAUUCAGUGACUCUUUUUUUAAUUAUCUUUUUCGCUCUUUUUAGAAUAUGCAAUUAAUACGUUUACUAAAGUAAUAGAAAAAGGUAAGAAAAAAGAAAUAUAUUCGCCGUUGCCGGGGAUCGAACCCGGGUCACCCGCGUGACAGGCGGGAAUACUUACCACUAUACUACAACGACUUCUUGUUUAAUCAACAAAUAUAAUCCAAUAAAUCUAAUAUUUUACUAAGCUAAUUUUGUUGUUAUAUAUAAUUCUUUUAUGAAAGUAAUGAGCCCCCCAUUCUUAUAAAGAGAUAGUAUUUGUUAAUUACAAUUAAAUUAUUAUGCAACUUUUUUGUUUUUUAUAUGUUGUUUUUUCAGCAUAACAACAGUGUGAAUCACUGUUGAGCUAAAAUCACUUUGGCAAUUUAUUAUAUUGUUAAAAGAUACAUUAUACGAGAUAUAUAUUAAAAUGAAAUCUUUCUUUUUUUCAAAUUUUUUUAAAAUUUAUAUUAUAUUUUGAUAGAAUUCAAAAUUGGAUUAGAAUCAGAAAGAUAUCAUUUUAAUUUAUUCUUAUAUUAAUGUUCCAGAAAUAUGAAAAAAUUAAAAAUAGACAUAAAAAAACCUAAUCCUAUUCAUAGUAUGACACUUUUUUUUCGUUAUUCCUACUUCGAUUAACCAUCAUGAUAAGGAGAUACAAAAACCAAUAUUCGAGAUACUAGUUGAGUUAUAAAGUCAAGAGUUAUUAUGUAGAAGUUAGGAAGUCUAUGUUCGAAGUAAAGAUUUGCAAGAUGAAGUUCUUCGAUAAAUUUACAAGUUGUCAAGUUCUUGACCGUAUUGCUCUUAAUUUUCAAGCUUGUAUUUUCUAGAACUUUCUUUGUUUCAGUCCUUUAGCAGCAUAAGACUACGAUGAAGACAAUAGCUGACCCCAAAAGUAUAUAGGUAGAAAAAUGGUAAGAUUUCAUUAAUGGCAUCAUCAUCAUGACUAUUUGUAUUGAUAUUUUACAUUUACAUCUAUUUUCCCAAUGGCUCCAAGUGCCUCCAAGUGCAUAUUAAACUUUCUACUCUCUAUAACAUAUAAUGAGAUUAGUAUGUAGCUAAGCUAACUCAUCAGCAGCAUUCAUCCUCUCAAACAUCUUUGGCUGACUAUACCUUAAAGCAGUGGCAAAACCUUCUCCAACACCCUGGAGUUUUCAAUGUUUCCCAUUCCAUAGUGUCGCUAAACUUCGCUUUCUCGCUCAACUCAUCAAAUGAGUCGACGAGGUUUUGCAGCCUUGCUACAAAUUCAAUCAAGAGAGAAGUAAACGUAGCUAACGACAAUGCGCUUGCAUUUUCGUAUGUUUUCGAUUCUUCUUCAUGUAUUACUCCGUUUUGUUUGACUGAUACCUGUGCAGGCCAUGAUCCUAGUUUCUUGAACAUUUUUGAGGGGGGGAGUGGAGUGGACGUUAUAGAGUUUAUGUCUGAUGACGCAGAGUCAUCCCAGCUUUUCAGGAUUGGUAAGGUCCUAAGAUCAAGCACAGCUUCACUGAGUGAUCUGUAUUCACGAAACCUUAUUUCUUCAUCGUCCAAGUUGAGUAGUUCUUGGGGUUGUCCUACGUCCUCGGGACGAUUGCCAAUUUCCCAGCUCUCUGAAUUGACUAGAAGGUAGGAUUUUGCGUCUAUCUUCUUUUGCAACUCUUCUGCAGCAUCAUGUACCUCAGAGAGUAUGGAUGCCGAAUCUAAUUUCUCCAUUUUCUUCAACUUGUUCCCAAGCUCGCGCAGGACUUUAGCACCUUCGUAACCUACCCUCCGAAGCUCACUACCAAAUACCUGUCGUCUUUCAGCUGAAGCCUAGACAUUCAAAUAUAUUCAUUAAAAGUAAGACUAAAACAAUAUGCAACAGUGGACAAUAUAAAUGAAUGGAAGCUCAAAAGAUUACGUAUCCAAUGAAUUGAUGCAUAUUUUAUGCAAAAUGUCAAACAAAUAUAUAUUGAUCAUGACUCGAUGCAAAUGUGAAGUUCGAGCAUGAAGAACAAAGUACCUGUAUUUCUGAUAGUAUACAUCCAUGUAAUGCCAUUAUAGCAAAGGCACAAUGCCUCAGUGCACCGGCUACUUUAACAUAAUUUUUCCAUGGAUAUUUAAGCAUCCUGUAUCGACCGUGUGGCGGUUCCCAGAUUGCGAAUCCCAUCUUCAGACAAGAAAAAGAGAAGAUUACAGAGAAUAAAAAAGAUGGAACGCAUUUUUUAGUAAUUUGUAAUUGUAUUUCUUUUCUUGAAGGGGAAUAAGGAAAGUCAGCAUAAUGCUGUAAAACUCACCAGAGUUUCCUCUUGACUCAAAGAUUCCAUUGCUGACCUAUAGCCUUUGUACAAUGGAUCAUCAGAUGCUUGGUAGGUGAGGAUUUUCGAUGGUAUUCUCUCGUACUCGACACAAUUAAGGUAGCUGUCAACACAACCUAAUUGAAGGGAAAGUAGUUGAGCAAAAACGAUCAAAAUCACAAGUUAUUUGGUAUCACAUUUAAAUUUGACUAAUGCCAGCAUCAAAUAGAAAAAAGCUAACCGACCUUCUAAGGAUGCAGCCACGCCUCCAAAGUUUUUAACUACUAGAUUAUGUAGAUCUUCACCAGCCCAAAUGGGGUAAAUGCAUAUGUUUACAACCAAACACACUCCAGCACCAAGUGCAAUGAGUAAGAAUCGUGUCACGGCGGUAUGGAUAAAUUCUCUAGUUCUAUAUCCCGACACCAUUAUGAAACAAUAUGUCAACAAGAAGACUCGAAAUCCAUAUUCGUAAGGCUUCAUUGUGGGAUACAAUUUAGCAUAAGUAGCAAAGAAUCCUGCCAAAACAUCAUAAACCCACCAAAUCAGAGAUUCUUUAUAUAAAAUAAACUGAAGGGAUGGGUCAGAAAAGACAUUCUGUCAACUUCAAAAUCAUUAAAUCAAUGAUUAGAAAGAAAAAGAAAACAGACCCAUGAUAAAGAUACUGGUAACAACCACAACCUCUUCCCAUUGUCCUGCAAGAACUGAUAACUCUGCCAUUCCCAAUGCAAGACCUCCAGCUGAAAGUGUGCCAAUUCCACGGUUCAGUCCUUUGCUUAAAGUUGCUCCUGCACACAGAAUCAUCAUUUUGGAUCCAAUAACCAAACAGAUCAUGGUGAAAGAACACAGAAGUUCUAGAUUUAGAGUACUCAAAAGGCAGAACAACAUUAAAAUACAUAACAGAAUGACUAUUAAACAAGAAUUGACCAAAGAUGGGCCCAUAAAUAUAAUAUCCACAACACUAAUUACAACAAAAACCAAAGAUUUCAGCUACCCCACUUUGCCAAAAAGACAAUCAACGAUUAGGUUUGAGGAGCAAGUAAAAAUCUAACAGUUCAAAAGGGGCAACAAUGGGCCAUCCCGAUUUAAUAAACAUUAAAUUAGAUAAACAGUUAUGAGUAAGCUCAAGUUUCUUGGUUUCAGCGUAUGAUUUAAUACAUUAAUCAUUAUGGAGUCUAAUGAAAGUCAAGUGUAAAACGUAACCCAAGGCCAACCCAGAAGCAAAUUCAAAACAGAAUUAAGAAACAAAGAUGGAAAUUCAAGAUUACCAAUGCUAAACUCAAAGACGACAACAACAGUGAGAAUAGCCCAAACAGAGUAGCGGCUGAGCUCUUCAACUGGUUGUUUGAAGAAUAUCAACAAAGAAAUGAGCGUAAGAGCGAGACCCAUUUUAGCAGAGAAAACGAUCUUUCUAGGGUCAGAAACACCCAUCUGCCAAGCUUUGUAAAGAACAUCCUGAACGGAGUUCCAUAUAUAAGAAAAUCUAUGAGAAACGGAGGAACAACAGGAAGGAUUCUCAUGAAUGGUUUGAAUGGCGUUGAAACCCAGGUCGGGAAAUUCCUUGGCCGUCGAAAGAAGCCUCUCCCUCCUCUCGGCAAAACUGUGUUUGAAGGAACCGUAUUUGGGCACCAUGGCUUUGGUUGUGAAUCGAAUCAAAACUGUUGAACAAAGAAACACAGACCCUUUCAAUGGCGAAAACAAACAAAAACCGAUGAGAUAGAUGAGAAUUUAGAGAAUUUUUUCAAAGUGAUUCCCAGAUAAAAAGGAGAAAAAAUGAGUUGAAAUUGGCGCAAGUUUAAUAGUGGUGGACUGAACUCAGCCAAAUUAUUGUUCAACAAUUCCUCGCAUUUAUCAAAUGUAUUUGUGAAGCCUUCAUCUUUCUAUUAUUAUUAUCAUCAUCAAUACUAAUAAUAAUUACUUUUUCUUUUCCCUUUCCCUAAUUUGCUAACACCAAAUUUAAUAUAUUUACUUUUACAACCAUAAGCUAAACUUAUAAUUUAUUAUAACUAGAUACCAAAUUAUUGAUUUUAAUUAUCUUUGGAAACCUAACUAAGUGUUCAAAAAGAAAAAUAGAAAACUAAUUAGUUAAGCUUGUGAAAAAUUAAUAGAUUAAUUAAAGGUUUCAUGGUGGGUUUUAGUUGUGAGUAUGUGUUCACUGUUUAGUGUUAGGAAGUGGAAAUUGGAAUGGGCAAAAUGUGAUGAUGAGAGGAGAGAUUUUGAAUUUGAUUGGUGGGAGGAAAAGGAGGGACCCAUGUGAUUUUGAGGCAUCCCACCUGUCAUUAUCCACGUCGACAUUCAUUCCAAAUUCCCUCAACGCUUUUCUUUUUUGUGUAUCAAAUUAUUAUUUCUUUAUAUAUAAAUAAACAUUAUAUAAUUGUUCAUGAAUUUGUCCACUAAAAUAUAGUUAAGUGAUUUAGAUAGCUGCACGCUUCUCAAAGAUAUAAUGUAAUGUGUAUCAAUUCUUUUAAAUUUGAUUUUUAUAUAAUGUAAAUAAUAGAAAAUUUGUGAAAGAAUAAUAAAAUAGUUAGACAAAAAUAUUUACAUGGAUUUUUUUUAAAGAGUUUGUUUCUUUACUUUUCUAUUUUUUGAAAAACCUUUCUAGGUUAUCUAAAAAUUAACUCUAUAGCUGUUAAAAAAUUGAUAGCAAACUUGUGAAUAUUUAGAUUAAAGUAAAAUGAAUGGAGUUAAUGAUAAUUUUACAUUUUCACCCUUUUUUUUCUUUUAACUAAAAACAUGAUGAAGGGCAAUGAUGGAAGCAAUUAUGGUUAAUUUGGAACACAAGAAGAAAGUUUUUUUUUUUUUUUUUACUUUUUAUGUUUCCUUCUAAUUUAAAGGAAAUAAAAAUAGUAAAUGAAAGUGAUGAUAAUGUGGAUAAGACAAAUGAUGAUAAAUAAAAAUUUAUAUUCAAUCAACUUUACACCAUACCUUUGUGUUCCAUCAAAGUAUUCCCAAUCCCAAUCCCAAUCCCAAUCCCAAUCCCAAUCUUCUUCUUCAGCUAUGUCAAUGGCAAUAUUGUUAUUAUGACCUUAUAUAUAAUCCGACAACCCCGACUAACCAAUCGAGAAGGUUAGUAUUGAUUGGGUUAAUCUUUAUUUUUAGUUCGGUAAUGUUAAAUUUUUUAUUUUUUUAUUUUUUGUUGGAUUUAACUUAGGUUACCGCUUUUAAAAUUUGAGUCCAACUUGUAUUUCUAAUAUCUAUAAUAUAUAUAUAUAUAUGUAUGUAUAUAUAAUAAAUAUUAUAAUGCAUGUAUAUUAUUACGAUGUUUGUAAUAGAUAUGUUGGAUCUUGUUACCCAGAAUUGCUAUGAAUAAAAAAUUAUGACCCAAACAAAAAAGUCAGUAACAAAUUUAAGUAUUUUAAGUUAAUAAAAAAUUAAACUUAAACAAAAAUAAAUAAAUAAUAUGAUAAUUCAAUUGAACGAACGUGGGUUGAAGAUCAUAUUUGAGCAUUUGGGUUGUCAAUUUAACCUAUCCAAAACUUUGGGUCGAUCCAAAAAAUCCCACAAACCAGUACACGUACAGUCCUACUUUAUAUUGUAGAUAGCUCACAACACCUAGUGAUAUUGGAGGCUUUUAGAGGGUUAUCGACUUUUACAAUUUUAAAAAAUUUGUGAAAUUUGUUUUUGACAAGUUGUGAUUAAAUAAUUGAGUGAGAUGUAAUAAGUGAUAUUCGUGAUAGCAACUAAUUUUAUGUUUUUUUCUCAGUUUUUUUUUUGUUAUAUUUGAAAUUGCAAUAUCACAUAUUUAAAACUCCAUGUCUUAUAUAACUAUGGUUGCUAUCAAAUUUUGAUUGAUAGAACUAUUAAUGUAGAGUUCGUCAGUGGUCCACAAAUUGGACUUCUUCGACUUUUCUCCCCACAAAAUUAAUAUCUAUCUAUAUAGACUUGAGAACAUAGGCUUGAGAAGGCUCGAACUAGUUGGUUUAUGUUAAUGGUGGUAGAAAAAAAAUGCAUUGUUUACUUUUCUUUUAUCAAGAUUAAAAUAGUUUUUACCCCAAACAAAUGCUAUUAUGAAGUGGAAAGGAAUAGUUGGUGUUGUGGGAUUAAGAGAAAGAAGCUUUUGAGCCACUACUUCAUUUUAUGCCAUUUUGGGAGCAUGUGGGUCACGUGGCUACCAUUUGAUAGCAAUAUCAACUCCAACGUUGGGCCAUUCAAUCUCAAUUCUAAUAUCUCAAUCAUAUACCUCCAAAAUCUACGUUUCUUUUUUUCUUUCUUUCUUUCAAUUGCUACAGUUUUGGUAUUCACUAUCUUUGUUUUAAGCUCCUUUGAGUAUAUUGUUGUAACAAUCCUCUUGCUAGUUGUGAUCCUCUGAAUAUUUUGCUUAUUUAUGCUCCAGAUUUUGAAUAAUGAAUAAGUUCUUGUCUUGCCUACUUGCUACUGCUUCUGAUUUUGAGUAUUUUGAUUGAAGUUUCUCAACUUCUGUGGUGGUGGUGUCCGAAUGUUGUUUGUUGUAUUUCAAUUUCGCUGUGAGAUGGAAAGAUUAUAGUUCUGAGUAACUCUCAUAUUUAGCUUAAUAAUAUAAUCACAGUGAUUAUUCAUGGAGCAGAGCUAUUACAUCGUUCUAAUUGCUUAAUUUCAUAUUAGUAAAAGUAUUUUUCUUGCACACAUUGUCUCCCAAACGUAAAUAACAUAUUAUCAAAUUGAAUUACUAAACCUUGUGUUUUUUGAAUUUAUCUCUUUAGUUUAUCUCCCUGUUCUUAAAAUUGUUUUCGAGUAAGGUGUCAAACAUUGUUAUUUUUUAAACCGAUGGUUAAAUUGAAAUUGUAAUUUACUCAUAUAUCAGAUUCAAUAACUUUCCAUUUGAGUUUAAUUGGUUUAUAAAGUUAAGAAAAUAUAGAAUAAGUAGAGUCCACAAAACACAAUACUCUGCCCCUACUCUUUAGUAUUUUUCAAUUUUAUUGAAAAUUUUAUUAAGCAUAUUUUUAAAUUCAUUUUUAAGUUUUUAACCAAAUUAAACAUAAACCCAAAAUUAUUGACUUUAGUAUGUUUGAAGUUUAAGAGAAAUUGACAAAAAUGAAAAUUUUGGCAAAACCUUUGCACACUAGUAAAAUUGUUUGUGUAAAUCAUUUUUGGACUUAAGCGAUAUUUUGUCAUUUGUGUAAAUAUUUUGUGAUUUUUUUAAUUAUUAUUACUUAAUUUAAGUAUGCCAUUGACCCAUUUUAAAUUUCAGGCAUAUAAACUUGUGUCUUACUUGACAUAAAAUCAAGGAUCCACCACUUGAAAGAAGUGGUAUUGAUAGCCUUAAUUCGAUUAUGAAGAAAAAGUUGAAUCUCACAGUGAGCUUAGAGUUUGGCAAGAAAAAACAAAAACAAAAACUUAGAAAGUUGAAGUUAUUUGCCCUUAACUCAUGAGUCUUUCACUCCAAGCAUGUUUUGCUUUGGCACUCACAAGUAUUGGAGAGGGAAGAACAAGAAGUGUGUGGAAUGGCACACAGACAGCAUGUUUCAACUCACUUAAACAAUGAACUUUCCCUCUAUUUCUACACUGUAAAAGCUAAAGAAAGCUUUAUUGACUUUGCAACCAUGGCAUCUCUUCCACAUCUCCCCCUUCCUCAACAAGCUAUCUCAUACCUAAGUCUGCUGUUUCUCCUGCACGUUCUACCGAUCACCAUAUCACAAGGUCCAACCAUAUCAACUCCCACCAUAGCUCAAUGCACGACGAGUAUUCUUCCAUUGGCUUCUUGUGCACCUUUUGUGCAAGGUGUAACACCAACACCACCUAUGGGAUGCUGUGAUAACCUGAAACAACUCUACAACGUUGUCCCUAACUGCCUUUGCCUCUUGCUGAAUGGCACUAACUUAAGCUCUUUCCCUAUCAACACUACUAGAGCCCUCCAGCUGCCUGAUAUUUGCAGCCUUCAAGUUAACAUCUCCACUUGUUCAGGUAAAACUAUAAUCCUGUCAUCCUAAAAGAUGUUAUAUUUUUUCUACUCUCUACUUCUCUCUACAAUCUGAUCCCACGGUUUGACAUUUAUAAUUCUUUGAACGGUUCUUUGAAGCUCUCCUUGGGCCACCUAGUCCACCCAGUUCUCAUGUUCCUCCUAGAGUACACAUCAACUCCACAAUUAGCAAUGCUACGGUUCUAGGUAUACUUCAGAUAUUCAUCCAGACGAUAUAGUUUUUGGUUCAGUUCUACUUCUAAUACAGCCUUCGAAUAUGUAACAAUCUGACUCUACUUUUGUAAAUUUCAGCUUCUCCAAUGACUCAACCAACACCAAAACCUAGCAUUGUGGGUUUAGGAUUGGGCAAGAUCAGUGCUAGUUUCAAAUUAAAGGGAGGAAUUCAGCUCACAGUAGUGAUAACAAUAAGCACUUUUCUGUUUCUAGUAGUACUUUAUUGAAAUAAAUUAUCAUAUGAUGUAUGGGGUUGCUUCAGCAGCUAGCAGUGAUGUUCUUCUUUAUUAGACUUCUACUAGAUUGUUUUAGUUAAAUACGCUCUUAACAAAAUAUAGUUGUUUCUUUAGCAUUUUAACGUUUGAACCCGACCAAUUUGAUCCACUUAGCAGCUAGAUAUGCCUUAUUCCCUAAUCUCACUAAAACAGUUAGUCUAAGGACAGCAAUCUAUGUCUACAGAAGAAAGACCUAAAAGAAAAAAACAACAUGUUGAUAAGAAAACUAAGACAUAAGAUCAAAAUCUUAACUAGAUACAAUAGAAUAAAGUUGUCAUAACAUACCUAGAAAAAUAUGCCAUUACAAAUUCACAUAGUAUCCUUUGUUUUCUUUUUCACUUCUUUAACUGCUUGGGAGGAUGAUAAUGUAUCCAAGAUGUGUAAUCUGUUUUUGAUAUGUAAGCAUCAACAUCAUUCCAAACUUGGAGCCACCUCAGUUGGAUUAGAUUCAAACACAUCUGGGUUUGAUGCCUCUGGUUCUAAAAUCUCUCUAGUUUGAACUGAUUCUUUAUAUGCAGGUGUCUCCUUGAAAUCAGUUGCUCCUUCAUUAUAUGUAGUGACAGCAAUUCCACAUGCAAUAAUCUAUUAUAAUGAUGAAUGAAUUAGUGAAGCACUCAUUUACAAAAGGACUACCGAACGUAAAAUAAUUAUCCUUUUUAGAAAAAAAUUUCAAAAGGAAACACCUGGCUAAUGUUAAAUAUCAUAAUUCUGUUCUGUUUAUGAUCAAGAAACAAAUAAGAACUUUGAGAUUGAAAUUCAACAUCUACAAUUUUGGGUUAUGGGUUAAUAUAUUCUCAUUUCAAGUUAAGCAACUAGAUUGCUGGAAUUAAGUAAUUAAUCUGAAUACAACAGAAAACAGAAAACAGAAAAACUAGUGAAAUUAUACCGCGAAAACGAUUCCAAAAGCCCACAAGUACUCUAGGAAGAAGCCAAAGGCAUCCCACUGCGGACCCUCCCAGAAAUCCGGCUGAAGCCCAGGCAAUUGCGGCAAAUUCUCAUCCACGUCAAACACUACACCGGCAUUUUCAACGACGGGACUGCCCAUUUCAACCCCGGCCGUCCGAUUUCGUUCUUCUUCUUCUUCCUGUUCCUUGAUUGUCGUCGAGCUCUUCCGGUUCUUACUGUCGAAUCGGCCUGUUCGGAAGGAGGAUUUCUUGGCUUGAACGAGAUGGAGGGUGCGGGCUUCUUUUGAGGGAUGAAAAAGCGCGUUGCGACGGAAAAGGAAAUAGUUAGAAGGAGUUCUUGUGAAGGUUCUGUAGAGAAUUCCCCCACUGGUGCCGACGGUGGCACCGCCGUUGGUUAUGGUCAGAGGCAUUUGAGUGGUGGAGAGUGAGCUCUGAGCACUCCGAAAAAUGAAAAGAGGAUUUUUUUUUCUUCUUUGCUUCGGAUAAGGAAGAAGAUAUGCGAUUCACUAAAUAAUUCUUUUUAUUAUCAUUAAUAUUAUUCCUUCUUAUUCUCCUCAGUUUUAAUUUUAAUAUUUUUUAUUUAAACAAAAAUAACUUACGUUCUAAACACAAACUAGUAUAAUCGACAUAGCUCUCUUACUUUUCGUAUCUAUUAUCUCACAUACUAUAUAUUUGAAUUCACUUUAAUAUUAUAAUUAUAAAUGAUUAAACCAAAUAUAACAAUGUAAUUAGACAACUAAAUAUUGUAAUUUAGAGGGAAUGAAUCUUAUUGUAUACAUAAUAUAUUUAUGUAUUCAUAAAACAACAAAUUAUUGAUACGUCAAACUUAAAAUGAAAUUUAAGAGUAUGUUUGGUUUUGAAAGAGUUUCAAAAGUGUAUUUGACUUUGUAGAAGAGCAAGUGUGUUUCAAAAUCGAAUUGUUAUGGGAAUGUAUUAUGAUUUAAAGAAUGAAUUUCCAUCUAGAUAUAAUAAGAUUCAUGCACAUGAUACAACAUCGUAUGGUGGGUUCUUAGAUAAAAUAAUAAGAUGUCUUUUAACUUUAAUAUCACUGUCUUAGUUUGUAUACAUUUUGAUCAAGAUGAAUAGUAGACUAAUUUGAUAAAUUAUAUUCUAUUUAUUAUUCAAUAUGUAAGUAAGAAUAAGAUACAUUACUUCACCCAUAAACAUACAAAUCAAACAAGCUCACAAUUACUAUAUAUUGUAUGAUUUAUAAUCAAUAAAUAUUUCAUUUGAAUAUGUAUGAUUGGCAUUAGCUAGACAUAACUAAUUAAUUAUUUAUCAUCAAACAUUCAUUCUCUCACUAAUUUUUUUUAAUGAACGAUUGACUUAGAUAAAUGUUUAAUUUUUUUAGUUGUGUUAUUCCUACCAAAAUUAAACAAUAAUAAUCUAAAAUAUGAAUUAGACAAAUAAUUUAUUAGUAUGAGUCCGUGAUUUUUUUCUACACUACUCUUCAAAUCAUUUAGAAGAAUACACACUACACAUAAUACAAAAUGAAAAUAUUAUAAGGUUUAUAAGAUUGGUAUCAAUUUAGUGUCUAAUUUUGUACAAGAACUAAGGAAGAAAAGAUAGCCAAUUUUAUUGAGUUUGAUCACUACUUGAACUAAUCCAUAUCCACAUAUGGACUAAGCAAAACUACUCCAACUUUCCAUUUAUAUGGUGAAGUCACAUUCACACCCACAAAUUUAAGUAUCUCACUAAAUAGUUCAUGUGAUUUUUCUAAACUCUUAAGUUUGUAAGUUCAAACUAACUAUGAGUGUACGUAAAAUCGAUGAAUCAACCGACCCAUGGAAAACAAUAUGUGUAAUUAAUUGAUUGUAUGCUUUUCUUUCUGUUGUUACUCCUUGUAAUUUUGUAAUUUCUUGAACAAAUUCCACACAUUCAAUUUUCUUUUCUUUUUUUCCCCAAAGUUUUUAGUUUCUUCAUCUUACGAAUACAAAUACAAAUAAAACAAAGUGUGUUCAAUUAACUAUUAUAAACACGGCAUCCUCUCCGAUCGAUACGCCGUCGGCAAUUCCGCCGCCACAUCCGUAUGAUCAAACAAUCCACCCAACGCCACCACCUCCUCUUCCUCUUCCGUACUCCAUUCCUUAAUCUCACAUCUCAAAUUAUCAAACCAACAGUAAUUCGAAACAAUUUCAUCCUCGAACCCUAAACCCCCUUUCACACCACCGCUACCCGAAAACUCCGCUUCUUCAAUUUCCUCUUUCUCACCAGCAGCAGGCGGAAGCCCUAAUUCAUCAUCCGACGCUUCUAAAAGAAAUCCAAGUUCAGGUUGAACAACAGGUACCGUCACCGUCACCGGCACUUCAAUUUCCUUCUCGAAGCUUCUAAUCACCGAAUCAAGAUCUUGAAUCCCCGCCUCCCGAUCUAUGGAAGCGUCGGUAUCGUCUAGAAUCUUCAGCAGGUCUUCCUGAAUUGUGUGAUGCGAGUGAAACGAAUCGGUCGAGUGUGAAACCGGCGCAUCGAAGUUGGAGGCAGCCGGAUUUUCAAGUCGGAGGAACUUGGAAUUGGAUCCAAUAGAAUUGAAGAGGGAGUCGUUGGAAUCGUCCCGAAGACGCUUCCUGGAGUCAAGAGAGGGUUCCAUUAGAGAAGAAGGAAGAAAGAAGAGCGACGACGGGAGGUUUUAGAGUGUAAGACAGAGCAUGGAAUGAGAAUUGGUGACGGGGAAGUGGAGGAAGCAACAUCUGAGCCUUAAAUAGUGAAUUCGUAUGGUUCAAACGCACUUAGGCGCGUACUGAUCUUUUAUUUUUAAAUAAUAUUUAAUAAAAGAAAAAUAGCAAUAAAUAAAUAAAUCAAAUAAAAAUUGUAUAUGAUUGGUAAAUAUGAACUAUAUAAAUUAUACAUUUAUGGCUUCCAAUACCCUAUAUCCAUCUAUGUACCAUCUCCACACACAUGUUGAUUCC
This 62396-nucleotide long non-coding RNA is filed under the name Cucumis sativus (cucumber). Its description in RNAcentral is "long non-coding RNA (CSAT_LNC000047)". Lineage: Eukaryota; Viridiplantae; Streptophyta; Magnoliopsida; Cucurbitales; Cucurbitaceae. The record is from RNAcentral.